RNAcentral lists this long non-coding RNA (45271 nucleotides) under Ananas comosus (pineapple). RNAcentral describes it as "long non-coding RNA (ACOM_LNC018205)". Lineage: Eukaryota; Viridiplantae; Streptophyta; Magnoliopsida; Poales; Bromeliaceae. The record is from RNAcentral.
UUUAAAUUUAAAAUUUGAAUGUCAAUUCAAAAUUUUAACUCAGCUUUAAAUUCAAAUUCAAAAUUCUAAUUUCUUGUUAGUUUAAAAUUUUAAUUUUAAAUAUUAUUUUUGAAUUUAAAUUUAAAAUUUUGAUUUUUAUUUUUAGGAACUAAAAUGAAAAACGUGCAAAGUUUAGGGACCUAAAUUAACAUACAAAAUGAUGCCAAAUAGGCGCUGACGUGGCGGUUCCGUUAAUUUUAACAGUUUUUUUAAUAGUUGGGACGUAAUUGUAAUAAAAUCAAGAGAUUGGGGAUUCAAUUGCAAAAAAAAAAAGGUUGGGGACCCAAGUGAAAAUUGGUGCGAAGGUUGGGGACUACCGGUGUAAUUAACCGGGCUUCAAAAUUUUUAAUUUUAAUGGUUGAUAUGAAACAUUUUCUCGUUUAAAGGUGUAAAGAUAUCCAAAUCAAUUGAAUUUUGUUUAGAAAAUUCUUUAACUAUUUGGAACAAAAUCUAUACUCUUGAUCUUGAUUACAAGAUUCCUAUCAUCACUUUGUAAUGAAUAUUCAUUCUCAGCCAUUCAUUUUUGUGUCCACUUGAUAGGCAAGAGAACAAUAUCGCAAAUAUAUGAAAUUUGAUUUCUAAACACUUCAAGUCGUAUAGAUCAUGUUCAACGGUGCCGAUCAUCGAUUUGUAGGCUCCAUCAUCGAAAACAAAUGGGCGGCAAUAAAGCUCAUUUGCUAUUGAUAGUAUUCUAGCUCAACUAUAUAUAUAUAUAUAUAUAUAGAGUUAGGCUGGUAUACUAUCAGUAACACGGAGGCCUCCGUGCUACCAAGUUGUUUUCAAUGAUGCGGGCUUCCAAAUAGACGAUCGGCUCCGUUAGACUUGAUCUACAUUAUUAAAAGUAUUUGGAAACUAAAUUUCAUAAUUUUUUGACAUCAUUUAGCUAGUGAUCAAAAGUCUCUAAAUUGACAAUUUUAAUGAUAGAUAUGAUGCGUUUGUGAAUUUAACGGUGUAAAGUAAUCCAAAUCUGAUGAAAUUUUUAUAGAAAAUUCUUUUCACAAUUUAGAGUAAGAUCAGUACCUCUAAUCUUAAAUUCAAAUUUUUUAUCAUCAUUUUUUAGGAAAAUUUUAUUUUCAGCCGUUCAAUUUUAGACUACUCGUUUAAUAGGUAAAUGAUGUCGAAAAUUUAUGAAAUUUAGUUUCUAAAUACUUUUAAUAGUGUAGAUCAAGUCUAACGGAGCCGAUCGUCGAUUUGGAAGCUGCAUAAUUGAAAACAACUUGGUAGCACGGAGGCCUCCGUGCAACCAAUAGUAUACCAGCCUAGCUCUAUAUAUAUAUAUAUAUAUAUAUAUAGUUGAGCUAGAAUAUUAUCAAUAGCAAAUGAGCUCCAUUGCCGCCCAUUUGUUUUCGAUGAUGGAGCCUACAAAUCGAUGAUCGGCACCGUUGAACAUGAUCUAUAUGACUUAAAGUGUUUAGAAAUCAAAUUUCAUAUAUUUGCGAUAUUGUUCUCUUGUCUAUCAAGUGGACACAAAAAUGAAUGGCUGAGAAUGAAUAUUCAUUCGAUUCGAUCUAACGUAUUUAAAAUAUCUAGAAAAUAAAUUUUAUGAUUUUUCGAUAUUAUUACCUAGCGAUCGAAAGGGUUUAAAUUAACGGCUGAAAAUAAAAAAUCUCAUAAAAAGUUAUGAUAUAGCACACUACCUGCUUCGAUUAUUUCAUUUAGAAAUAAACUUAACUGGAAAUGUGAAUCAACUCGGUUUCGAACUUGGGACCUCGGGUACCAACCACCAAGCCAUUUGCCACUUGCUCUAGGGACGGUCGGUAAUACUUGUACACUGUUAAAUCUGCAAACGGUAUACAUCAAUAAUUAAAAAUUAUUAAUUUUGAACUCUUUUGAUCGCUAGGUAAAUAACAUCGAAAAAUCGCAAAAUUUAUUUUCUAAAUAUUUCAAAUAUAUUAGAUCAAGUCUAACGGAGCCGAUCGUCGAUUCGACAACUCCAUCAUAAAAAACGACUUAGGAGCACGGAGGCCUCCAUACUCCUAAUAGGACACAAGACCUACUCUCUCUGUCUCUCUCUAUAUAUAUAGGGAACAAAGAAACAACAACAAGUUUAAUCUAUUUUGUUGUCAAGUCAAUUAAUUUGUUCAGAUCAAACUGAUCCUUCGCAACCGUUGGCUCAAGAAAGUAAACCAAGUUUUUGUCCGUUGAACUUUAUUUGAAUUAAUACAUUGGAAGACAAUAAAUAAAAGCUUCUCUGAAAUGUGUUUUUUUUUUUUGAGAUAGGUAGCAUGCUACCCAUUUCGUUUAUUUUAUUUAGAAAUAAACUUAGCUGAAAAAUGUGAAUCAACUAGGAUUCGAUCUCGGGACCUCAGGUACCAACCAUCAGACCUUUUGCCACUUGCUCUAGGUACGGUGGGUGCUUCUAUGAAAUGUUAAAAAGUGAGGGCACAUAUGUUGGGCCAAAGUUUAAAUCAGCCCAUAAAUAUACAAGGGAAUUACACGAAUUAAGGAGGAGCCUUGAAGCCUUAAGCUUCUGCUUGGCGCUUAGUCGUAGGCGGAAGAGAAGGACGGCGACCACCUGCCGACACAUCGACAACAAUGAUGCUGACGUUUUGCCAUCAGUGGGACGGAGGAUUCACUGAUCAUCCGCUUGACGCUUUGCUAUCAGCAGAAAAAAAAAAAAAAGAAAACGGUGAUCAUCCGCCGGUGCUUAGCGAAAGAGAAGAACUAGUGAUCAUGAAAUGCUUCGCACUUAUCCGACAGCGGAAGAGAAGAGCUGGUGAUGAAUCGCUUGGCGCUUAGUGGUCGGCAGAAGAGAAGAACGACGGUCGUCCGCCGGCGCAUCUACGACCACGAGAAGCAUCAGGCCGGCACAUAUAUAGCUGUUGGCCGACGAGAAGAAACGCUGGUGAGUCGGCCUCGCUUUUAGUCGGUUCGCAUAUGUUGAUCUGGUCAAAUUAGGACUAAGUUGGGACCUAGCUACAUUCAAUAAUUGAAUCAUGAAUACUAGUGAAGGCCCGCGCUACGCAGCGAGAAAUUUAUAUAAAUUUUAAAAAUUUUAAACUAUAUAGUAAAUAGCACCGAAACUGAUUAAAAUUUAAUUUUUAAAUUUAUUUUUUUAAUUUUUGAAUGGGAUCUAAAAUUAUACGAAACAAAACAAAAAAGAUUAGAAAAGAGAGGGAAAAGGGAAAAAAAUAUUAGAAGAGGAAAGGGAAAAAAAAGAGAGGGAGGAGCGGGUCAACAGGUACAAAAAAAAUUUAAAAACUAAAAUACUAUAUAUAAUAAAUAAAUAAUUUAAAAAAUAAAUAUUAAAUUAUAUAAUAAAUUAUUAUAUAAUAAUAUAUGCAUAUUAUAAAAAUAUAAUACUAUAUAUAUUAACUAAAUAUAUAUUUAUAAAUAAAUAAAUAAAUAAAUAAAUAUAUAUAUAUAUAUAUAUAUACAGAUCUGUAAUGCUUAUAAUUAACUUGGCCUAAUAUUUUUGAACAUUUUUUCCACUCUAAAGUGCCUCAAUUAAUUAACCAUUCGACAAACAAAAGAAGAAAAAUCUAAAAUUCAGUUGUGGCGAAAGGAUUGCUUAAUUUUUUUAAUUAUCCACAUUUGUUUGUUGUUAUGGUUUAAUUCCAUAAGGACCUAGCUACAUAUCAUAUAUAGAAUAGCUAGAUGUUCAAGUGGUGCAAUUUUAAACUCUAAGAGAAGGCAAAGUGGAAUUAUUCAAUACUGGCUAAGCGAUAAGUUGUUUCAUAAAUUUUUUAAUCAGCAAUUUGCAGGCUUUAAUAAUAAGGCUUAUGACUAUCACAUGCUAAUUAACCAUUAAAAAUGCUUAAGGUAAUAUGUUCUUUUGGAUCGAUCGGAGAAUUAAAAUAACAAAGAGAGGACAAAGAAAAGUNUCUCUCCCCCUCUCUCUGUAUGCUCUCUCUCUUUCCUCCCUCUGUUCUCUCUCUCUCCCUCUCUCUCUCUCUCGCGCGCGAGGCCCCCGCAAAACGCGGGGAGCUCGUCGUACAAACACCUGCCUGCUCUCUCUCUCUCUCUCCCUCUGUUAUCUCUCUCUCUCGCGCUGAGGCCCCCGCAAAACGCGGGGAGCGUGUCGUAGGAACUCUCGAUUCAAGAGUUAUAUAGAUAUAGAUACUACGCUGUGAAAACAAACAAAUAAAUAAUUGUGUGAGAUGAGUUAUUCGUGAUCUUACACAGUUUAAUAUCGUCUGGAUUUUAAUUUUUGAUAGAAAUUUAGUUUUAGUUUUUAAAUUUAAAUUGCCUUCGGAAUUUUAAUUCAGUUUUUAGUUGAGUUUAAUCAUGGCUCAAGUUUCAAUUUGAUUUAGUUUAUGUUUUAAAUCAAUUUUAUUUUCAAAUUCAAAAUCAUUCAGAUUUAAGUUAAAAAGAGGUUUACGUUAGAAAUCAAAUUCAAAAUAUAUAGCCCAUGUCAAAUCCACCAUGAUAAUGAAUCAAAGAGAUUCAAAGAGUCCAAUAUGAGUUUUUUUGAGUCCGAAAUAAACUCAAUCUGCAUUUAAUUAUGUUCAAAUCAAGACCAAAUUGAAGGCAGCAUAGUAGUAAAAAUUAAGAUUGAAUCCAAAUGCAGUUAAGAGACCUUCAAAGAAAGUGACAAUGAAAUAUAGACUAGAAUCAAAUAAAAUGUGAAUUUUAUUACACAAAGGGUGCGUUUGGUUCGCAUUAUUAAAGAUUAUUAGGAAUGAAAAGAUGUCUGAGAAUCUUAUUCAUGUUCAUCCUAUUACUAAGAAUGUGAAAUUCCUGUGUUUGAUUCGCACGGUCAUAUUAUUUAGCCAUAUUAUUUAAGAUUACAAAAAAUAUACAAUUAAUUUAUUUAUUUUUUAAAUUAAUUUUAGAUAAUGCUACCAAAAAUUUCAACAUCUUCUUAGAAAAAAGGAAGAGAGAGCAUAGGUUAGAAAAAGAGAGCAUAAUUAAAAAAAAAGAAAGAGAAAUAGAAUCGAAAUUAUAGGGAGUAAGAGAGUUGUGAUUUUAGAAAAAAAGGGAGAGAAAAAGCUUAGUUUAGAGAGAAAAAAAGAGUUGAAUUUUAGAGAGAAAGAUGAGUUUAGAGAGAGAUAUGAGGUUAGAGUGUAAAGAAAAGAUAAUAACAAUUAGCCGGCGGGUAGGAAGAAAGAAAGAGAUUAGACAUAUUAUGAUUACCCUAAUUCAUUAAUAUGAGGAUACCCACCAUCUUUCAAGGGAAUGAGAUUAGUACUUUGGGAUGAAUCUUAUUUCCAAGUAAAUCCAAUAUUACCAACUAGAUUACUUAGUGCGUUUAGCCAAACAUCGUCAUAUUUUUUUAUUUCUAUUGGAUUACUAAGAAUCUUUAAAAGAUAGCACGAAUCAAACGCACCCAAAAUGCUAUAAAAUUACAUGGCUUAACUAGGGGCACAACCCAUUAUGCAUGGAUUUAAUGACUUGGUGGUCAAUUUGUAUACGACUAGUCUAAUGAUUUGGUGGUUGAUUAGAUAUGGAUUACUCAUUUACUCGCUUUAACGGUGUGACAGUCAAUUAGAUUUGGAUUGCUCACUUUAACGAUAUGGCAAUUGAUUUGAAUUGUAUCGCUCAGUUUAACGAUAUGGUGGUCGAUUUGAAUUGGGUCACUCAAUUUAAUGACACGGCGAUCAGUUGGAUUUAGGUGCCCAGUCCAACGACGUAGCGACCAAUUUGAAUUUGGUUUGGAUUGCUUACUUUAAAGACAUAGCAGUCAAUUUUGAAUUUAAUUUUUGAUUGGACUUCACUUAUAUGUGCUAAGGUGCGAAGGUUGAUUAAAUCCAGAAUUCUAUGUUAGGGUUAAUUAAGUUAGAUUUGAUUGGGCUCUUAAUAUAUGUUUUAGAGCUUAAUGCGUCCACCCUAAGGUGAAAAAUUAAUCAAAUCUCAAGUAUAUAUAUUAGUACUUAGUUGAAUUUUAUUUGAGUUGAUCAAUCUAAGUAUAUACAUUAAGACAUAUUUGGAAUUAAACUCUAAGUAUACGUCCUAGAGAUUAAUCAAAAUUUGAAUUAAUAGGGCUCUAAAUAUAUGUUUAGACUCCAAUUGUAUUUCACUUGACCUCUGUUAUAUGUUUUAAGGUGAUACGCUGGUCAAAUCCUAAAUGUAUGCGUUAAAUUUUUUCAGAUUUGGAUUGAUUAAACUUUAAUUGCAUGUAUUAGAGUCUAAUCAGAUUUAAGUCCGUCCAAAAGGUGAAAGGUGGCUAAAUCCUAAGUAUAUGUGUUAGGAUUAGUCAAAUUUGAUUUAAACUAAACUCUAAUUAUAUACAUCAGAGUCUUAUUUGGUUUAAUUGAAUUCUAAAUAUAUAUAAUAGAGUCCAAUUAUGUCUGAUUCAAGUUAAGUUCACCUAAGGUGAAAAUUGCUAAAUCCUGACUACAUAUGUUAGGACUUAGUUGGAUUUGAUUUACAUUAAACUCUAAUUAUACGUAUCAGAGUCUACUUUAGUUUAUUGCACUCUACGUGUAUGUAUUACAGUCUAAUUAUAUUUGACUUGAUUAGGCUCUAUGUAUGUUUGAAUCUAAUUGGGUUUCAUUUGAUUUCUCACCUUAGUUAAUGUGUACUAAGGUAAAUGUUGAUUUACCCGAAAUUCUGAACAUAUAUUUUAGAAUAUAAUCUAAGUUUGAACUGAGUUGUGAUUACCCUAGUUGUAUGUGUUAGGAAAUUAGUUUGAACUGAUUUAUCCUUAAGAACUUGGUUUGAAAAAGAUGUUGGGUUAAUAUAGCCCAAGGUAUAUGGUUAAGGAAAGAGGUUGAUUUCAAAUUAUGGUUUAGUUAAUAUGGUUUGGUUUUUGAGCUUGUGUUUUGGUUUUGGUUAACACCGUUUUUGGGCUUGGAAAUGGGCUUCCGUUUUGGUUAAUAUAGUUUGGGUUUGGUUUUGACUUUGGUUUUGGUUGAUGGUGUUUGGGUUGGGUUCGGUUUGGGUUAGUAUAGUUUGUUUGAGAUUGGGUUCUUGUUUUGGUUAACAUGAUUUGAGUUGGGUUUUUGGCUCAUGCCAGUUUGGGUUCAGAGGGCCUAUACAAACCAGUUUUGGGUUCGAUGGGUUUGGAUCAUAUGAUUCAAGUUGUGAUUUGAAUUGGAUUUGAGUUUGACCUGGGGAUAAGAUUGGACCCAAACAAUUGGUGUGUGGUUAGCAUUGGACUUGGAUUUGAAUUUAAAAGGCAUGUAGGUGAAAUACAAGUUUAGGAAUUGGAUUUGAGUUGGCCACAUUUGAAUUUGAAUGUUACUUUUCAAGUAAAAAAUUUGAAUUUCCAUUUGAAUUAGUACAAGUGAAUUUGAAAUGUUAAUUUUAAAUUUGAUUGUAAAUUGAGCCUAAAUUUAAGCUUUAAGUUUGAGGGUGAAUUUAAUUUCAUUUUAGGUUUAAAUUCCAAUUUACUAUGAAAAUUUUGAAUUUACGAUGGAGUAAGUUUAAAUUUGCAUUUUAAGUUUGAGUUUGAAUUUAAAUAUUGGUUUGAAUUUGGUUCUUGGACUAGAUCUAAAUUUGAAUGUUAAUUACGAAUUUGAAUUUUAGAUUUUAUUUUUAUGUUUAAAUUAGAUUUUAAAUUUGAUUAAAUUUUCAUUUGAAUUUUGAUCUUGGUUAAAUUUUAAAUUUGAAUUUGGAUUGUUAUAGAUCGGGAUGAGAUUUGAAUUUGAACAUUGAUUAUAAAUUUGAAUUUUCAAUUUUAGCUUUGCAUUUAGCUUUAUAUCUCAAAUUUAAAUUUGAAUUGAAAAUAUUUUGAUUUGGUGAUUAUGAUUUUGGUUUAAUUUUGUCUGAAUUUUAAUUUUGGAUAGAAAAUUAGUUUAAGUUUGAAUUUCAAUCUUCAAUUCAAAUUAGAAUUUGAGUUUUAGAUUUAAAUCGCCUUUGGAAUUUUAUUUUAAGUUUUAGUUCAAUUUUAUUAACGCUAUUAGAUAGAAUGGAGUUGAGGAAAAAGCAUACAGGUUACGGCGUAUUUUCUCACGGCACGUAACGCAAUCUUUCCGCAAUUCCAAACGAAGCCUUAGUCGGUUACGAUAUAUUUUUUGCGGUACCAGCCAUAUAUUAGAUAGUUUUAUCUAGUUAAAAUUAAAAUUUAUGCUCCGAUAAAUUACUCGUGUAGCAAAAAAAUAAUCAGAAUAAAAGUUGUUGAGAGAAAAAUAAAAAAGAAAUAGAGGUUUAGGGCUUAGUUGAGCACGAGCAUGUGAGCGGAGAUGGAGAAAUCAAAAAAAAAAAAAAAAUCUGUUGGAGAGAGUGAGGGAGGGUUGAAAACAAAAGACACCGAAAGCCCGACAACGCGGAGAGCCGCACUUGCGGUGGGUGUAAGAUAAUAUUAAUAAUUAUGAUAUUAAUUUAAUUUAAAAAAUUGAAAAUUUAAUGAAAAUAUAAAUAUCAAAAUUAUAUCCUGUAUAUAUUAUAAAGCUAUUUUUAUUAAAUAUUAUAAAAGCUAUUUUAGAUUAAGAUUCUAAAUAUUUUAUUAGAAUUAAAUCAAAUUUAUUAAUUUUUUAGUAGCUAAUUGUGACGUGAUGGAUUUGAUAUAUGUGAUAACUUUGUAUACUUGUGUUAGGUAAAAAAAUCUGAAAGAGGAAAUAAAAAAUAAAAAAGGUAGGAGAGAGAGAGAGAGAGAGAGAGUGAGGGGAAAAAAAAAAAAAAGAAAGUAAGAGAGAGAGAGAGAGAGAGUGAGAGAGAGGAAAAAAAUAAAAAAAGAAAGUAAAAGAGAGAGAGAGAGUGAGGGAGAGAAUAAUAAAAAAAAAAAGAAUGGGCCCCACCGUAGGACCCCGCCAAAUGCAGGGAAGCUUCGGUUUAACCCACUUUUAUUAUAAGAAUAGGGCAUGGAUCACGUUUAAGUUUGGUCUAGCUAGUCCUAAAUAGGCCCAUUUACACCCAUUUACAUUUCUAGCUACGGGUGCGCACGGUUUGGUCCCAAACCAAAAAAUCAAACCAACCGAAACCAAAUCAGACGAUUUGGUUCGAUUUAUAUAGUUUUCGAUUUGGUUUGGUUUGAACACAUUUCUUAAUCGAACAGAACCAAAAACUGAAUAUUAAUAUGCUUUUACACUUAUUAUCUAAACUAUUUGUUAAAAUUUUAUAUUCAUGUAUCAAAACAGUUUUUAAAAUUCUAUAUGAAAAUGUAAAGUAACUAGGUUUCAAACUUGGGAUCUCGAAUGGCAAUCACUAAAUUCUUUGCCACUUGCGAUAAGAACAGUCGGUUCAUGAAGCAAACUUUUGUUAGCGCUUUUGUUCUUUAAUCUUACUACCUAACAUGCAUGUUAGUGAAGUGUUGUAGAAGUUGCACAUCAGCGUAGGCUUGCUCUUUUACAAAAUAAGGGUCAACUGAAUGAAGAGGUUAUACCAAAGCCAACACUUUUCCCUUCUCUAAGCAAGGCACAAAGUGCAAAAGCCAUUGCACAAUCCUCCACCCAAGCAAAGAAUAUCAUUUUAUGUACCUCAAAAGAAGAGGGUCAAAAAAGAUGAUGCUGGAAAGUAAACCACACUGAACAAAAGGAAAAGAGAAAGGGAAAAUGAUAUGCAUCAGCUUCAUUGGUUGCCACCGCAUUCACCGCCCAGCGGGGGGCUACUUCCUGAUGGCGCUGAUGAUCAUCGGCAUCGUGCUGGGCCUGCGCAUCCUUCUCCACAUCCUCGCGAGAUGCGUACAGCGGUUACAAGCGGGCCCAGCGACGAGUGAUGCCUACAACCGGGAGGUCGAGAUGCGAAGAGAAAGAAUGCUGGCUGCAGCAUACUCACAGCAGUGGAGAAGUUCUGGGGCUGUCUGCUCGUCGUUGCCGCCGCCUGAGAAGGAGAGUGAAUGCUGGCAGAGCAAGUUGGUGAUUUCUGCUGGGCAUGAUCAGGUCUUAUAUAUUGCCCACCCUUGCCCUCUAAGAGAGACUGGUAUUGUUAAGUAGAGUGAUCUGUGUGUGUGUGUGUGUUUGUGUUUGUGUGUGCCUGUGAGAGUAUAUGAAGUCACGUACGUACUUUGGUAUCUGCUUUAUGGAGUCAAAUGUACAACUUAAUUAAAAUAUAUAAACUUAUUUUGUGUUUCAGAACAAGUCUACUUCUUCAGUCCAAGAUACUUUACUGCAUGAACAUAUACAUAAGAGAAAACCAAAUGAUAAAUUUAGUUUUUCUUUUUUAUGUUAAUUAUGUCGAUUAUUUGAAGGAAAAAAAAAAUCCAAAAGCUAGAUAAUAGUUGUUAAGACUCACCAGUUUCUUUUUUGAGAAAUGCCAUGGAAUUAAUCAGAGGCCACUCUACAGUAUUCUUCUUAUUUUAUUUUAGGAAUAAUUGCAUAUGCCUGCAAAAGUAUCAAAUAAAAAAUAUAUUUAUGUGAAACUUAAGUUAUCAGAUUUAUUCCUCCAAAAAUCUUUCCGUAUGCAAAAUGUAUCAUUAUGUUAAUAAAAUUUAGAACAUCAUAAGUUAAAAAAAAAAAAAAAAAACCAUGGUUAGCUAAGGUAAAAUAACUUUUUUAUCCCUUAUAUAUUUAAUUUGUAUUCGAAUAUCGAGUCUCAUCAUCUUUCUCAUCUUCUCUUUUUUAUUUAUGACGACGGUGAAAUCUACGACUGUGGCGACGUAGAAAGCAAGGCCCUCGGUCGCAAUAAAAAUAAGGCACGCCACAUGUGCAGCUUCGAAGGCAAGGAGAGAGAGAAAAAAAAAAGAUAAUUUUUUAUCUGGACAAAUUUGUUAGGGUAAAAUAAUUAUUUCUUCCAUAAUUUAUCAGAUUUAUCUCUUCCAUAAUUUUAAAAUAUUUUAGAAAAAUUUAUAAUUUUUUUAAAUUUUUUUUUAAAAAAAUGAAUUGAGAGGGGAUCAAAACCCCUCCUCCCAAGGUUUGCCACUACAGACCUUGCCUUGGGCCUUGUGAUCCAGGUCGUAUCGGGUCAUCGGACCCAAAGGAAGAGGCCUAGCAUGGCCCAAAAUAUCGGGUCGGGCCGUGCCAACACAGCGCUCUAGUACCCAUGCCGUGCUGCAGGUUGGCCCGUGGCCGUGCAUGGGCCGCCCGGCCCAUUUGACAUCCCUAGAUGGCAACCAUUUCAAAACCUUCUUUGUUUGGUUAAUCGCAAUUUUGAUGAUUUCUGAACUUGUCUAAUAUGCUUUACAUUAGAUGUGCCUCGAGUUUAGUUAUUGAGUUCGAUUUUAUACCCUUGACUCACCGAAAUGGAUUCGCGGUGCAGGGGCAAAACCUCCCGCUGUCUGAAUCAGGUCCGAUAUUGAAGAACCCGUUAAAAAAUUUCUUUUUUCUUUUUUGGCCAAUUUGCAUAAAAAAUCCACUUAUUUUGGGCUUUUGCAAAAUCGGGCCACCAUUUUCAUUUUUACAGAUUUGGUCCGCUUUUUCAGCAAACUGACCAAAAUACCCUUAUUACUUUUUCUCUUUCCUCUUUCUCUCUCUUCUUCGUUUCUCUCGUUCUUUUUUUUUUUCUCGCCGGUAGAGCGGAGGCGGAGCGGAGGCAGAAACGGUCCGUCUCGCCUCUCACCCUCAUGCUCUCGCCCUCACCCUUGCCCUCGUCCAUGCACCCCCACCUUCCUCGCCUCCGACCCCGUUAAGGCCGCGCCGCGACUUUUUUUUUUUUGCUUUUUUNNNNNNNNNNNNNNNNNNNNNNNNNNNNNNNNNNNNNNNNNNNNNNNNNNNNNNNNNNNNNNNNNNNNNNNNNNNNNNNNNNNNNNNNNNNNNNNNNNNNNNNNNNNNNNNNNNNNNNNNNNNNNNNNNNNNNNNNNNNNNNNNNNNNNNNNNNNNNNNNNNNNNNNNNNNNNNNNNNNNNNNNNNNNNNNNNNNNNNNNNNNNNNNNNNNNNNNNNNNNNNNNNNNNNNNNNNNNNNNNNNNNNNNNNNNNNNNNNNNNNNNNNNNNNNNNNNNNNNNNNNNNNNNNNNNNNNNNNNNNNNNNNNNNNNNNNNNNNNNNNNNNNNNNNNNNNNNNNNNNNNNNNNNNNNNNNNNNNNNNNNNNNNNNNNNNNNNNNNNNNNNNNNNNNNNNNNNNNNNNNNNNNNNNNNNNNNNNNNNNNNNNNNNNNNNNNNNNNNNNNNNNNNNNNNNNNNNNNNNNNNNNNNNNNNNNNNNNNNNNNNNNNNNNNNNNNNNNNNNNNNNNNNNNNNNNNNNNNNNNNNNNNNNNNNNNNNNNNNNNNNNNNNNNNNNNNNNNNNNNNNNNNNNNNNNNNNNNNNNNNNNNNNNNNNNNNNNNNNNNNNNNNNNNNNNNNNNNNNNNNNNNNNNNNNNNNNNNNNNNNNNNNNNNNNNNNNNNNNNNNNNNNNNNNNNNNNNNNNNNNNNNNNNNNNNNNNNNNNNNNNNNNNNNNNNNNNNNNNNNNNNNNNNNNNNNNNNNNNNNNNNNNNNNNNNNNNNNNNNNNNNNNNNNNNNNNNNNNNNNNNNNNNNNNNNNNNNNNNNNNNNNNNNNNNNNNNNNNNNNNNNNNNNNNNNNNNNNNNNNNNNNNNNNNNNNNNNNNNNNNNNNNNNNNNNNNNNNNNNNNNNNNNNNNNNNNNNNNNNNNNNNNNNNNNNNNNNNNNNNNNNNNNNNNNNNUCUUUCUUUUCUUCUCGGACUCUUUCUCACACCUGCAUGUCUCUUGACGACGACGCUCUUCUCGCCUUUCCGCCCUUUCUCAUCUUCCUUCUCCUCAUUCUUGGUGUGCGCCUCGACGAACAACUCUCUCCCAACAGCCACGGUGCCGGCGACGACACCGCUAAGGACCCCCGCUCCGAGCCUGUAGCGCCGCAGUGACCUCCACGGUGUCGACGUCGGCGCCGGCGAAGAUGCAUCGUCGUCGGAGGCGGCAGAGAAUGAGGAAGAGGGAGAGAUGAGAAGGGCGGGAAAGGACGAGAAAGACGAGAGAGGCAUCGUCGUCAGAGACGGUGGAGAAGAGUCGGAGAAGAAAAGAAAAGAAAAAAGCAAAAAAAAACAAAAAAAAAGUCGUGGCGCGGCCUUAGCGGGGUUGGAGGCGAGGAAGGUGGGGGGUGCGUGGACGAGGGCAAGGGCGAGGGCGAGGGUGAGGGCUAAAGAAUGAGGGUGAGAGGCGAGACGGACCGUUUUCGCCUCCGCUCUGCCGGCGAGAAAAAAAAAGAACGAGAGAAACGAAGAGGAGAGAGAAAGAGAAAAGAGAAAAAGUAAAAAAGGUAUUUUGGUCAGUUUGUUGAAAAAGUGAACCGAAUCUGCAAAAACGAAAAAGGUGGCCCGGUUUUGCAAAAGCCCAAAAUAAGUGGAUUUUUUAUGCAAAUUGGCCUUCUUUUUUUCUAGAGACGAUACAGUGAAUUGUAUUUCUAUAAUAUUGUAUUCUUUUUUCGUAUAGUAAAGUUCGCUCAACUUUCUCUUAUGAUUUUUUCCUGAAAAAUGUUUUCAACGUAAAUUCUUGUGUUCUAUAUUUUAUUUUAUUUUUUUUUGUAGUUUGUCUAUUUUGCGAUUACCCUUUUUUAGUUAUGUUUGUGCGUUCGUUGUGACACUUUAACCAUAAGAUGUAACGAUCAUCUUCCCUUUUUAGGGCCUAUUUGGUAUUAAGGCUUAUCGACUGCUGGAUAAGAUUUUUUUUCGAUGAGAUAAUAAAAUAUAUAUUAUAAACAAUUCAUUACGUUAUACUUACAACUCCUAAAAAAUAUUUUUUAGAAAACAACUCGUGCAUAGCUAGCUAUAGCUACGCGGACAAAUCCGAACCUGCUGUCACAAGACCUAAGAUUAUUAUAUUUUUAGCAUUUGAAGUAAAGUACCGAAGUAGGACUUUUAUAUUUCAAGCCCAUUAUUAUAUAUCAGAUAUAACCGUAAAUUUUAAGUAACCCUCUAUAGUUUAGAAUUAUUUUUUUACAUUAAUUAUUAUUUUAUAAUUUCAAAAGUUUUACAACCAUAUGUGAUUAAAGACCUGUCGUUAGAUAGAAUAUUAAAAUUCUACAAUUUAUAAACCACAAGAUAAUAAAAAAUUUCUUUUACAAAUCAUGUGAUGGUAAAGUAUAAUGUACUACUAACCUAUAAUUUGUAUUUAACUACUCUCUAAUUUUUAAAUUAUAAUACUUUACUACCUUGUUUAAUUUGAUAGUUGGUCCUAAUGAAACGAAAAUAACAACAUAGAAGGAUAAAAUGAAACUUCCGAACAAUAGAGUAGGAAAAUAAAAAUACACUAAAUCACAUUGGGUGGUUAAAGUUCUAUUUUUAGCAUUGUUUUUUUAUAAUUUCAAAUGUUUUAUGACCAUGUGAUUCUGUUUUUCUUUUACCGUACAUGAAAACCUGCCGUUAAAUCGAAUAUUAACUAUGCAAAUCAUAAGAUAACUAAAUGCUAUGUAUUUUACAAAGCAUGCGGUGGUAAAAUAUAGUACAUUAUUAACCUAUAAUUUGUGCUUAACUAUUCUCUGAUUAGUAAAGUAUAAUACUUUACUCCUUAUUUAAUUUAAUGGUUGGUCCUAAUGAAACAUAAAUAAAAACAUAUAUAGAGGGGUAGUAAAAUGAAACUUCCAAACAUUAGAGUAGGAAAAUAAAAAAACGCUAAUCACAUCGGGUUGGUUAAUUAAAGUACUACUUUUAGCAUUGCUUUUUUAUUAUUUCAAAAGUUUUACGACCAUGUGAUUCUAUCUUUCUUUUAUCGGACAUAAAGACCUGCCGUUAAAUCAAAUAUUAAAAUUCUAUACAAACCACAAGAUAAUAAUAAAAUGUUAUCUAUUUUACAAAUCAUGCCGUGGUAAAAUAUAAUGUAUUACUAAUCUAUAAUUCGUAUUUAACUAUUCUCUGAUUAUUAAAGUAUAAUACUUUAGUACCUUGUUUAAUUUAAUAGUUGAUCCUAAUAUAGAAGGGUAAAAUGAAACUUCCAAACAAUAGAGUAGGAAAAUAAAAAAACGUGAAAUCACAUUAGGGUGGUUAAAGUACUAUCUUUAGAGUAUGUUUGGAUGCACAGUAAAAAAUCUCCACAGAAUUUAUAAACUAUGGUUUUGGUCCAAAUGAAAUAGGAAAUUCUAUAACUCUAAAAAAAUUCCACGAAUUUAAUUUUUAAACUGUUUGGAUGCGCAUUAUACAAUUUCACAGGAUUUCUCUAAAUUUUAAAAUUAAAAGUUAAAUUUUAAAAUUUAAAAUUUCAAUGAAAUUUAAAAUUUAAAAUUAGAUAUGUGAAAUGUGAAGUUUUAAAUUUUAAAUUUUAAAUUUCAAAUUUAAAAACUAAAAAUAUAAAAAUAUAAAAAUCUAAAUUUAAUUUUUAAAUUUUUAAAAUUUAAAUUUUAAAAUAAAAAGUUUAAAAUUUAAAAUUUAAAAAUAAAUUUUACACAUUAAAGUUCAAUUUUAAAAUAUUGAAACUAUGAAGAUUGAGAUUGAAUUUAAAUUUAAAAUUUAAAAUCUAAAUCGUGAAAUUUGAAAUUUCAAAUUUGAAAGUUAAAAAUUGAAAAUUAAGAAUCAAAAUAUUUAAAUUUUAAUUUUAAUUUAUAUAUGUAAAUUUAAUAAUUUUAAUUUUUAAUUUUGAAAUAUGAAAUUAAAAUGACAAAUUUUAAAUUUAAAUUUAAAUUAAAAAAUCAAUUUCUAAAUUACAAUUAGAGUUAAAAAUUGAAAUUAUAAAUUAGAAAUUUACACAUUUGAAAUUCUAUUAUUGCUAACUAAAAUGUUUAAAAUUUGAAAAUAUAUCGAAAUUACAUUUGAAUUAUUAUGAAAUUUAGAAAAUUUAAUAAUUAAAAUUUGAGCAUUCUAAAGAUUUAAAAUUUAAAAUUUAAUUUAUUGAUAGUUUAAAUUUAAAUUGCAAAAUCAAAUUUAAUUAUUGAAAUUAAAAUUUUGAAUGAUAAAUUCAUUAUAAUAAUUUUAAUAAAUUUAUAAAUCUAUGUUGUAAUUUAAAAUUUAUGCUUAGAAUUUAAAAGUUAGAAGUUAGAACUUGAUGAUCUUUGCGCAAGAAUGGGUAGAAUUCUUAUUGCUUUCGGUUAGAGUGGAAUUAUAAUUUUACUCUAAUUUUGGAGUAUUAGUUUAACUUACUCUCCACAAAUCACGUCUUUUUUUUUCUAUUUUUAUUUCUCUCAACGCUUUCAUAAGGAUAAUAUUUCCUCUACCAGGUACGAUAGUUUGGCUCGUUUUAAGGUAUCCAAACGGCCUGGUCUUAAGCGUUUUUUUAUAAUGUUGUCAAAAGUUUUACGACUAUAUAAUUGACUCUGUCUUUCUUUAACUACUUAAGCGACCUGCGCUUUAAAUCAAAUAUAAUUCUAUACAAACAGCGAGUAUUUAAAGUGCUCAUCUCAUUUUACAAAACCAUGCUAGCUCAUUUAGCGUAAAUUAUAAAAGAACAUAGCGGCGUUUCAUAAAAUGAAAUUCUAAACAUUUUAGUAGGAGAAACAGAAAUUUACACUAAUCAGAAUGGGGGUGGUUAAAGUACUACUUACCCUUGAUAAAAAGACAGCUUAGCUAUACUAUAUCAGCACCCAGGAGCAGGUUUGACAAUAAAACAACCUGCAGUUUAAACUUCAAUACAGAUCAAAUGCUUAAAACUAAGGAAAAACUUCAAAAAACCCCCUGUGGUUUCGUACUUUCUCAUUGUAGUACCCUGGGGUUUAAAGUGUAUCAAUUUAGUGCCAUGUGGUUUCAUUUUUAUAUUUUCGACAGCUUUUUCGUUAAUAUUUCGUUAAAUUAUAUACAAAAAACUUCAGAUACCCAAUCUAGGUUUAUCGAAUAUUCACUUUAGUACCAUUUAAUUUUAACUUUGUCACUGAUUUAAGAAAAAAAUAGUAAAAUUGAUAAUAAAAAGAGAAAAAUGAAACCACAUGGCACUAAAUUGAUACACUUUAAACCACAAGGUACUAAAAUGAGAAAGUGCGAAACCACAGGGGGGUUUUUGAAGUUUUUCCUAAAACUAAAGACUAAAUUAAAGCUAUGGUGUACCAGUUCACUUCAAAAGAAAUAAAAAGUACUAAUUAAGAGGCAGCGUCCAAUUAAUGAGUCCGUUUGCCAUACUAUCGGUAGAGACCUCCGUGCUACCAAAUUGUUUUCAAUGAUGCGACUUUCAAAUCGACGAUUGACUCCUUUAAACUUGAUCAAUACUAUUGAAAGUAUUUGAAAAAUAAAUUUCAUAAUUUUUUAACAUUAUUUACCAAUCAAACGAGUAGUGUAAAAAUAAAUGAUUGAAAAUAAAAAUUUCAUAAAAAAUGAUGAUAAAAAACUUGAAUUUAAAAUCAGAGGUACUAAUCUUAUUCUAAAUAGUGAAAAAAAAAUUUCUUUAAAAAUUUCAUCGGAUUUGAAUUGUUUUAUACUGUUAAAUUCAUAAACGUAUCGCAUCGAUCAUUAAAAUUAUCAAUUUUGACACAUUUUGAUCACUAGCGAAAAAUGUAAAAAAAUUAUAAAAUUUAGUUUUCAAAUACUUUCAGUAGUGUAAAUCAAAUCUAAUGGAGUUGAUCAUUGAUUUAGAAGCUGGAUCACUGAAAACAAUUUUAUUGUACGGAAGCCUCUGUGCUACCGAUAGUAUAGGAGCCUAGCUCAAUUAAUAUUUAGCAAACGGUUCUCACAUCUGUGAUGCAUAAAAGUGCAGCANCUAGAAAUAAACGGCUGAAAAUAAAAAUUUCAUAAAAAAUGAUGAUAAAAUAUGUGAAUUUAAGAUCAGAGAUCUUACUCUAAAUAAUGAAAAAUAAUAAUAAUAAAAAUUUCAUCGGAUUUGAAUUGUUUUACACCGUUAAAUUCUAGAACGUAUCGCAUCGAUCAUUAAAAUUAUCAAUUUUGACACAUUUUGAUCACAAGUUUAAUGAGAAGAGACAUGAACUUAUACAUCCUUUGUCGAUCUUACCUACAGCGAUCUCUAUAUAUCAUUUCGAUUCUGCCAUCUAUUUGUGUUUCUAUUUUUCACCUAUCCCUUUAUGUGCACAUUAUAUAUGUACAUACCAUAGUGCCUUAAUUGCUAGAUCUAUUGGAAGUUCUGAUGUACCAUUUCUUAGGUUGGAGAUAUCAAAAAUACAAUAAUUAUGACUAUAGCAAUUAUAAUUGUGUGUGUUUUAUUUGGUUGGAUGCAGUAGAGAACACCAAAACGAGAAGUAAUUUAUUAAUUUGCCUGCUGAUGAGAAGUAUGCGUAUAAAAUUUUAUCAUAUUAUACAUGGGAUGGAUAUAUAUUACUCCCUAUGUAGACUGUUUAAAAAGCGAUUAGUUAAGCUUACUUUUUAUUUAGAGUUUCUAUAUCUGUUGUAGUUGAAAACUGUAGCCAAAUUUGAGCGUAGUUUCAACUAUUAUAGUUGAGCCUUUGCGUACAGUUUCAACUUGAGGAGCGGAAUCUAAAUGCAUCAAAUAAAAUACCUGAUUUAAAUCUACAUGCAAUUAUAACUAUAAUGCAGUUGCAACUAAUAUACAACCAAAUAGCCUGAGUUUCAAGAUCCUCCUGCAUGCAAUGUGGCAAUGUUUCCUCUAGUUAAUCAAUCGGACUACAUUCAUUAAUUGGAUCAACAAAUUGGCACGCAAACACUCAAUAAUAAGAAAGUGGUUGAAAGUAUAAUAAUACACUAUAUAUACAAAACAUUAUAUUGAUAAAAUAUAUACUCAGAUAACAGGGUGGGAAAAAAAAAAAAAUCUGCACUUGAGGCCUAAUUAACUAGUUUGAAGUACCAUCUUUGCCACAAAGAAUCCUGACCUAUAUCUAUAGCAGAAUUUGAAAGGACACAAAUGGGCCCAUUCACUCAAAAAAAACACAUCCAAUAGAAAAGGAUACAAUCUUCUAACUUUGAAGGAAGUCUAUUAUGUCACACUUAUACCACAUCAUCAAUAACCAGUCAAUCACAUCUCAUCUUUUAGAGAAAAGUACAAUAAAAAUAUUUUCUAAUAACCAUGAUGUAAUAGCUAGGUGAACUCAAAAAAGAAAAAUCUGAAUGGUUUGAGAUGCCAUAUCCACAAUAUAACUCGUGCAUUCUAGAUUUUUUUUCCUAACUGGGACACCCAUUCCACUCAAGAAACACAUCCUCUCAAUGGUCCAAAUUAAAAGACACUAAUUUCUGAUUAACAAACUCAAUGGUUGCACCAACACAUGUGCACAUACACACUAAUUAAUAACUUUCAUCAAUUAACACAACUCCUCAAUGCACCUUUUCAACAACAGGUUUAAACCAACAACAUACGCAAACGUAAUUAAGCACAUAUAUAUGUAUAUGUAUGUUUGUGUAUUCGUACUAAUGUUUAGUCAUCACCUUAAUGCAUUAAAUCCCGUAAUAAUUAAUAUAUAAUAUGUAAGACUAGCUAGCUAGUUGGCAUGCAUAUGCAUUUAGGUAGGAGUAAAAAUAUAUGUGGGCUUCUGAAGACAUCAAAAAGACCCCCAAUAACAACAUCAAUAUAUAUAUAUAUAUAUGUCAAUUAAUUAGUUGCAUAUUCUUUAAUAGAUUUAAUAAUUCCGCAUGCAAAAUGCCACCAAUAAAUGAUAUACAAAGCUUGUACUAUAUAUAUAUAUAUAUAUAAAGAAUAUAUUGCAUAAGAAGUGAUGGGUGUGGUGGGGAGCUGUUGCACGCAGCAGCCAUAUUGGCUCUGCAUGGCUGGUAAUGCAAGUGGUUAAGUACAUUUAAGUGCAUAUCACAUGCAUCCAAUAAUACUAUUUGGAAUAUUUAUGUGUGACCACUUUCUACUACCUUAAGCUUCGUUUAUUUUUUCUUUUUCCUUUUUCUCUUUGUCUACCAAUAAAUUUGCAUUAGUAUAAGAUGAAAAUAAAGUUGGACUAUUCACAGGACCCCCCCCAAAAAAAAAAAAACUGAAUUUUGGCUAGCUAGAUAUAAUAAAUUUGCCAAGUGAAUGACAAAACAGCUAUCUUAAUAUCAUCUAUCUUACAUAAGGAUAAGAGGCCAAAUUUGUCAUGUUUAAUUUAGUCAUAAGAGUGUUGUCAAUGAAACACAAAUGUAUAUAACAUAUGAUUGUUGAUGAUUGCAUGGCUGUUCAAAACUUAGUGAUACAAUAUAUAAUUUUCACUAUAUGGCAUUGAAAGGAGGUGUUUAGAUUUUGAUAGUACUUAAGGAAGAAAAAUGAUGCGAAAGUUGUGAUUCGGUAUGAUUAAAUAUAGGUAUAUACGUCGACCUUGUGAGACGACAUAUGUAAAUUGAGAUACUCUAUUUAAGUUUCCAUGUACCCUUGCUCUCAAAAAAGAAUAAAAAAAAUCCAUGUACCAUAGCUAGAUGAUGUAAAAAUUGAUCAGUAAAGGGUUGUAUAUAUUCUAUGGUAGUCAGUUGGAAGUUAUAUAUGGUUAUCAAGCAACCGUAAGUGCGCAAAACAUGCAUGCAGACUAGUAACAGCAGUAUGUAUAUAUGUCAGAAACAAAAAUAAUCACAUUGUACGGUUAAGAAAUUCGAGAAGAACACUGCAACAAAUGUUAACAUGAGAGGGCCAUAUCUCUCAUUCGACAUGCAAAAACUACGGCCUUUUCAAUUAUAGGCACAUUAUCAGACAUCUCCUAUCAUGCUUCAUCAUGAUUUAAAUAUUUCCCCCUUUUUAUAGGAAAUGACCGAACUAAUUUUAAUUCUUUGAUCACAAGAAUCCAAUUAUCCAAAUUGUGAAUUCAAAAGACGAAUGAAGAACUAAGAGCAAGAAAAAUAUAGGAUCUCUAGCAACUGAGUGUUUGUUUGAAUAGAACAAAUUUUCUACUGAUAAUGUACGUAAUUUCGAGAAUUUUCUUUUGUAAUUGCAAUCUAAAAUCUUGCGUUUAGACCCAUACAAGGUCCUAAUAGUAAUGUUUGAUAGGAUAUUCGAUCUAUUCCAACAAACAAAAUAAUUUAUCUUAUUCCAAAAGAAAUCACCCAGUGGCCAAAUAUAGUACACUAUUAUAAACAUCUAAUCAAAAUCUUAAUCAUAAAUUACUACGCACGUGCUUUUUAUGUAAACAAAAGAAGUACAACAAACGAGAUGUCAUGCAUCAAAAUAGACACCAUUAUCAAUCGCGCGCACGAGAGAGUGAAAGAGAGAGAUUCCACAUAUAUAUGUAUGCUGGGUACAGUGAAGUUGGUGUAGUGAGAGAAAAUGUGCCCUUGGCACAAUCAAACAUAUCCUAGAGGACCCGAACUGUUCUAGUUUUUAUCGGUAACCUUUCGAUAGAGCUCCUACGUAAACAUUUUAGUUGAAGUGUGUUACUUGUCCCAAAAAUUUAAAGUGUGUUAAGUUUUGGAUCUUUAUAAUAUUUAUCCAUUACUAGUCUCUUCCUAGUGCUCUAUGAUUGUCAAAGUGAACAGGAGACAAAAACACUUCAUUAAUCUACUAGCUACUAAAAGAAGGGCAAAGAUCACGCUAUGUUCAUGCACUCACUACAACAGAAUUAGGUUAUAGGGACACAUAUUUGGGACACUUUUGUCUAAGUGUCCCAUUUAUGUCAAAAUUUAAAAAAACAUCUACUAAUACAUAAAUAUAAAGCCGAAUCCAAUAAAAAAUAAAAUGUUAUUAUAUUCAACCCACCCAACCCAGCCCAUUUGGCCCGAUUCCAAAUAGAAAAGAAAAAAAAAAAGAAAAAUCGAUUACCAUCUCCUCUUCUCCCCUCACUCAAUCCACUGAAAUUCUAGACGAAGGGCCCUUCCCUCUCGUCCUCCUCCGCCACCGCAGCCAACGAGAUAGAGUUCCGGCAGUUGUUAUAUGCUUAAAUAAGUGUUGCUAAAUUAACAUCACUUUUUUAGGUUAUAGCGACAUUCUUUAACUGUCACUAUAUACCUAGCGACCCCACAUAUAGCAACACUUUUUAAAAGUGUCGGUAAUUUAGCCAGCAACACUUUUUUUGACCUAUACCGACAUUUAAAAGUGUCGCUAUAGACCGUUUUUGUUGUAGUGACUCUACAAAUCUCUUUGCAAUGAAAUGAGGAACAUAUAUGUUUUAGCUUCACUAAAUCCAAUUGCUUGCACAUGUGAACCAAGUGAAAAGCAUUUGGCAAAUUUUUUUCGGGUUAGAAGAUACAAAGUGUUGGUCUAGCUUUUGAUGUUUUAGAAUCGCCUAUAAAUGCAUAUGCUUUUGUAUGUUUAGAAAAUAUGAACACAAAUGUGCCGAAUAUAUAUUGUAACUUAAAAAUUAUUAUACAGUUGGGGAAAACCAAACCAUGAAUCGAUCCAAGAACAUCUUGAAAAACUCGAUCUUGGGGUUACAACUUCAGCUCCAAAUCGAGAUCUUCUUUUGUGCUAUAUUCGCAGUUUGGAUUAUCUGAAUCUAUUUGCUGGCUUUUCCUGUGAGUUGAAUCCUACGUAACAAUCAAGUGUAGUUAGCAUGAAAUACUAUAUAGAGAAAUAUUGAUAUACGGUCACUAACAUGUUGCAAGUAAAUAAUUUCAAACCUCAGUGGUUUGUUCGAAGAGGGGAAGCGUUACGUUUUGUGGCGCAUAAUAAUGGGAAGGAAUGGUUGCGUUAGGAUCCGAAAUUGGUCUAGCAUGUAAAAAAAUAGCAAGUUAGAACAAUAUUUAUUAAUGCAAAGUAAAUUUGGAGGAUAGAUCGAUACGAAAAGAUAAAAUAGUACCUGAUGACAGGAGUUAGCCCGAAUCCACUGUAUCGAAAAUCUGUUCUUUCAUCACCUCCGUAUGCCGUCUAAAGACCAUAGUAAUUAAAGCUUAGUAGCUUAUAGUUAAAAAAAAAUUCAUGUAUCACACUAUCAUGUAAGAAAUUCAAGAGAUCUUUAUCAACAAAAUGAUGACCAAAUUGAUUUAAUGCUAUGGUGGAAUUAUGUAACAUCAGGAAAAAAAAAAAAUCAAUGCCAAUAAAUUAUAGUUUCAAGUUGGUUUUUUUAAGUGCUAGUGUAACCAAAAGAAACCAUACAAAUUAAGAUGUUGAUGAUCAUGAAUAUGAAAGAUUAGGCUUCAAUUCCCUUUGCAAUUUAAAAAAGAAAGAAUUAAUUGCAUAAUGAUUAUGCAGAAUAAGAGGUCACACACAAAUCAAAACGAUGUUCAUCUUCUAUCAUUUGAACUAAAUCCAUAGCUAGCAUUAAUUUGCAUAAUAUCAAGAUCUACAAAGCCUACCAUAACGUUUGGAUGAACAGCAAACAACGAUGACGACGUAGUGAUGACUGAAGAAGAGGGCACCGACGAUGAAAGCACCAUGGGAAUUCUCACUUGAUCCUCCUAUUUAAAUACAAAACAAAAAUAAAAUGUUAACUAAGAUUGUAGAUGAUAAGAAUCAUUAUUUAGUAAAUAUUGUAUUGAAUUUUAAGUUUAGGGAGAGAGAGAGAGGACCAUGUUGAGAUUAGUGAGGAACGGAGGCUGCAGCGGUGGAAGAUACUCAGCCAUUUCGCUUUGCAAUCUGAUCUUCUCCAGCUGAGCCACUCCAAGCCCUCUUUGUGGUUGCUUUGGCUUCUCCGAACUGCUUUUUUUUCCUCUUCUCGAUGAACCUGCCGAACUGUCACUAUUACCCGUCCCCAUUUUUUGAUCGCCAAAGUUUCUACUACUCAUAUCACUAUUUCCGCAACAACUACUAGAUAGCUAAUGAAUCCAAUUCUCGCUAAACCUCUAUAUCUCUCAACACUUUCUACGAUUCAUUGGGCCAAGAUCAAGAAUACUUCAGAAAGAUGAGAAAGAGCUGAACCAAGUAGCAUCGACCUUCCGAAGGGCGAAAUAUGGAUCUCUAAGAUCCAUUAAAAAGGGGUUUGAUGAAUGAUUAUAGGUGACAUAAAAGGGGUCAUUUUCCUGCGCCCUUUUUCUUUGAUUAAUUUCUGUGCGUGGUUAGUGUGUCCUUAUUUGUUUAUAGUAUCAUGACACACCAUGUGAUUUAAGCUCAAUACUAAACAAAGGCUUUAGUGUUUGAUUUGUCAAAGAUGACUAAAGGGAUCUUUUGCCAUUAAAUAUUACAGUAGAAAUUUGGCAAGUAAAAAUUAUAAAUGUGCAAAUUAUACUAUGGUAAAAAUACUUUGUAUGUAUAAAUUUAAUAGCUGAGAUCUGUAAUCGAAUAUAGAGAAGGUAAUCUACAUGUUAGGUUCUACACUUUUCAAAAUAUUUCAGAAAAGUAUAAGCCUCUAAGCUUUAAGAUUUUCUUUCAUAGAAGUGCUGAUGAGCAUUUUUCAAAAUUGAAACAUAGUACUCUAAAAGUUUUUCAUUAACAAGUUCGAAACAUUUGCCUCGUUUUUCCAAGUUUUAUCGUUAUACAUGAUGUGCUUUGAUCUCUUAUUGCAGUUAUAUCGAUCUUUUGAUCAAUGCCGUUCUCUCUCCUACGCUUGUAAUUUAUUAAGCUUCAUAUGUUCUUCAAGUUGGAGUCGUUAAAAUUCUAUUAAAGAGAGAAAAACUAAUUAACAAGGAAUACGGUUAGAUUAUAAUUAAAGAGGAAAAUUAGAAAACUUUGUAAAAAUUGCUAUGCAAAUGCAGGGACCUGGAUAUGAAUUGUCCAAACAAAAUUGCAGGAAAGCAAACUAUAUAUGCAUCACAAAUAUUUCUAUAAAUCUUGCAUGUCUGUGUCGGACGCUCACGUGUCCGUGUUAGACUUGUAUCCAACGCGAAUGGGCUAUGGACGUGCAUCAAAGAUAAUAAAUAUUUUAGUUUUUUCUUAUGUAUGCAUACAAAUGGUUUUGGACAAUAUGAAUAAAUUAUGUAAGGUGAAAAUUUUUUUUCUUAAAAUAUAUGAACUCUCAAUGAGAAUUCUAUUAACUUUCAUUUCUAUGAGAAAUAUAAUAAUAUUUUAGCAAAAUUAAUACUUCAUAUAUACUAAAUAUAUUACUAUAUUAAUAAUAUUAUAUUUUAUUAGCAGUGUUCAUACCAUGUCUGCGUCCUAAUUUUUUAAAGGUUGUCAAGUUGCCUGUCUGAGUUGAGUCGUGUCGUGUCCGGUGUCUUGUGCCCACGUCCAUGACGCGUAGAAGGCACAUUAACAUGUAUAUUUUGAACUAAAGUACUAAACUAUAUAUAUAUAUAUAUAUAUAUAUAUAUAUAUAUAUAUAUAUAUAUAUAGAGAGAGAGAGAGAGAGAGAGAGAGAGUCCGGCUGGGAUACUACCGAUAGCACCAAGGGCUUGGUGUUAUCGAGUUUUCCACUGUUAAAUUUAACCUUUUGAUUAUAUUUACUCGUUAGAUUAUAAUAUUCAAUCAACCACUCACUCAAUCCUAGAGGGCCCGCAUCAUCCUAACCGCAUAUUUCUCAAUCCAAGUGCUAAAAAACUAAUAGCACCAAUAGCUUAGUGUUAUUGAUAGUAUUCCAGCCGAGUUAUAUAUAUAAUAUAUAGAGUUAGGCUGGAAUACUAUCGAUAGUACGGAGGCCUCCGUGCUACCAAGUUAUUUUCAAUAAUGCGGCUUCCAAAUCGACGAUCGGCUCCGUUAGACUUGAUCUACACUAUUGAAAGCAUUUGAAACUAAAUUUCAUAAUUUUUCGACAUUAUUUGGUUAGUGAUCAAAAGGUCUCAAAAUUGACAAUUUUAAUGGUAGCUGUGAUGCGUUUGUAAAUUUAACGGUGUAAAACCAUUCAAAUCUGAUGAAAUAUUUAUAGAAAAUUCUUUUCACUAUUUAGAGUAACAUCAGUACCUCUGAUCUUAAAUUUAAAUCUUUUAUUAUCAUUUUUUAUGAGAUUUUUAUUUUCAGCCGUUCAUUUUUAGACUACUCGUUUGAUAGGUAACUAUAUACCAUACUUUAGUGGGGGAUUAAUUUUGAAGUUUUUAUUUCCAAAUCAACUGUUACAGGAGAAUCUACCAGCUACUUUGGUAUAUAUUAUAGUCGUAAAGCUCCUUUGGAUUAGAUUUUCCCGUAUCAUGAUGUGAUUACGUACCAGCAAGUUUCUGUGGAAGCUCCAAAUAAACGAGCGCGAACAACACGUGGGGUGACCUAGCAAACGUAGUAAUCGGCAUCUGUUUAGAUUCGGUGCCGAUUUUGGUUCGUAGUUUUGGUUGCCAUAUCCACUUCACGUGUAAGAAGGACCACUAGAUAUGGGUUUGGUUGCUUCAAUCUCCCUUGAAUAUUAUUUAAACGGAUACUUAGUCAAUUAUAAGCCACUAAUUAUACUUGUUAACGAUUCCCUGUGUCGGAAAAAAGCUGUAAUAUUUGGGACAGGAAUAUAUGAGACCCAUGUGUGCAAUCUAUUGGAUUGUGUAGUUGUGAUCAACUUUGAUUAACUAAAGCAUUUUACAAGUUUUUUUUUUUUAAUAAUACAUUUUUUCGGCAUGGAAAUUUUUUAAUUGUGGGAAGAAUAAUAGGAAGGACUAGCUACUAUUGUAUGAGGUUCAUAAAGCUUGGUUAGUUGUACUUCUGAAUUUUGAAAAAAAAAUUUGUGGCUCUCUUGCUCUGGAAUCUGUAAUCUCAAAUUAAAAAUUUUAUAUUCGAUACGUUACCAAUUAAUUAAUUUAAUUUAGUCGAUCAUUCGCACUGAAUCGUCAUCAAGUUUGCUAGACAUCGUCAGCUUGUGAUUGUUACGUGACAAAAUAAAUGCUAAAAAGCUCUUAAUUAACUUCAACAAAAGUACAAAUUAUCACAAAUUUCCAACUUGGUUACCCAAAUGAACCUCCUAAUUAAUUAAACUCUAGUCGUAUUAUAUAUUCAGUCAAUUUUUUAUACAGUUAGAAUAUUUAAUGGGAUAUCAAUAGGGCGAUUGAUUAAAGAAAAAAGGAAAAUCUUGUUCAUGUGAUAUACUUUAGGUUUCCAAACUUUAGGUGACAACCAUUUCUCUUUGCAAUUAAUUAAAUAUGUACUCCUCAACUAUUGGCCAUUCCAAAUAGGCCCUGAACUUAUUAUUUUUAGAUAACCACUCUCUCAAUUUUUAUGUUUUUAAUUAAUUAGUUUCCCUAAUUAAUUAAGUUGGUGAGUUGAGUUGAAACUUUUUUUUUUCCUUUUUGAUAGAAGAGUUACUUAAAACCUUGUAAAGGUUAUAUAGCACUAGUAGUUGUUGUUGGAAUUAGAGGGCGGCAGAAAUUUGCAAACUAGCACUACAACAAAAUAUAUUUUUACCGACGCUUUAAAGCGUCGCUAAUUAUUAUUUAAAGCGUCCUUAAAUGUAAAAUUUGUUGUAGUGUAGAUAGCCAAUGUAUCCAAAAAAACAAAAUCUAAUUGGAUUGCUUGUUUUAUUAGCCUUCUUUGGAUCAAGCUUAUCUCGAUGUUUCUAAAUCUUCUACGUAACUUUUGGAUCUUCCACGUAUCUAACUUUCUCCCACGUGUUGUGGAUCGUCGAAUGUAAAGAAGGCUAUCAAAGUCCUCUUCUAUAUCCAUACUCCAAAACCCUGAGAAUGUAUGUGAAAAUCCUAGAAAGAAAGAAGAGAGAGGAGAAAAUGAAAACUCUAUUUUCUCGUAUAUUCUCAUAGAUACAAAAUCCAAGAGAAAGGGAUCGAAUUCAUAGAUUAUCAAGACUCCUUGGAAUAUCCUGAUUGAUCACAUAGAGAUUGGGAUUAGAAUAUCUAUUAAGAUAUUUAUUAGGAGAUAUAUUUCUUAACUAAUAAGAAACAUAUAAUACAUUAUAUUAUCCGACUUAUUAGGGUAAAUCACAAUUCACAUCUUAUGUAGAUUAGGUUAAAUUAAAAACGGCCAAUGUGGACACACCACAUGGCAAUAGUUCUCAAACUUUAAGAGGGUGACAUAGUUAACCAUAAAAUUUUAUUUGUUAAAAUUUAUGCUUCAAACUUUCCAAAUUAUCAUAAUUAGGUCUCACUAUUGAAUUAAGUUGACUGGAGAAUGACUAAUGUGGAACCAAGGAUUUAAAUAUCGUGGCACGGGAUCGUGCCGGAAACUUUCCAGUACAUACGGCACAAUUCAUGCCAGGCCGUGCUGGUGCGUACCGGUCACAAAAAAUUCAUAUGUGCUAAUAUAUAAUAGCAUGCACUAUUUAUUUUCUUUAGCAACAAAAUAUUGCAACUAUUUAAUUUUUAUGUAUUUUUAUCAAAUCUUUUGAAUUUUAUUGAGAAAAUUAUUUACUAAUUUAAAGAAUAGAGGAUUUUAAACUGUGCUAUCAGUAUCAGGCUGUAUUAUGUUGAUAUCUUGUUGGCACGAUACGGCACAAUAGAUAUGGCCUAUGUCGAUCGGCACUUAAAUCCUUGUGUGGAACUAAGGUGGCAUUCUAGUUAUUAUCAUGUCAUCAAUUAGAAUGACUAUGAUGAUGUGCUAUGGAUUAUGGGCACAAUAUUUUAGUCUUGGUCUUUUUUCCACAUGUCACUGGGAGAAAAAAAAAAAAAAAAGAGAGAGAUUAUAGGAGAAGUUUUUGUUUAUGCACAUGCCUAGCUCACUAAAUCGCUAGCGUCUAAAGCUAGCUUGCUUAUGACUUUUUUCAUAUGUUGGCCUUUGUUCAUGUCAUGAAUAUAGCAUUAGUAUCUAAUGAAUCAUCCUAUGGUUUGAAUACCUUUCAUUUAAAAUUUAUUUAUAUAUAGUGCAUGGAUGAUCUGAUGCACCUAGUGUAUGGAAUAAUCCUCCCCCUCCACCACCCCCCUCCUCUUUCUAGUGAUGGUAAUUUUUCCCUCUCUCUUCCCCUUCUAGUGAAGGGAAUUUCCCCCCUUUCUCUUCCUCAUCUCUCUUUCCCUUCUAGUGAAGGGAAUUUCUCUUCUUUUCUCUUCCCCUUCUAGCUAGUGAUGGGGAGCUGGCAGUAUCACAUCCCAAGAAGUCACCCAUCCUAGUAAUUUUCCCCUCUUUCUUCCAUUUCUAGUGAUGGGGAGUUGAGGAACCUAUUGGGCCAAGCUCAUUGACCCAAAAUGUAGAAACCUGAUUAUUAGUCUACGGUAUCUAGCCUUAUAUUUCCCACACCAUUUUACUGUCUGAUGUGGGGCUAUUUUCUAGCCUGGGGUUUUAUUGACUCCCUUGCUUUUAAGCCCUAAUGUCCUCAUCAGGUUCAACCAAAUGCAUAGCCCAAGAUCGUCACGCGAUGUGAGAACUCAUCUUAUACUUUCAGUUGGCAAACUGCUCUGAUACCCCUAUCACAUUCUAGGGGGUAACCAAUCCUAGGGUUGCUCUUAACUAAGUAUGUUAACUAAGGAACCUAACACUGAUAACCCAUUGGCCCAAAUCCACUGAUGCAAAAUGCUGACGCCCAGUUAUUAGGUCUAGACUAUACAACCUUAUAUACUCCACACCAUAAUCCUUGACUAUCCGAUGUAGGACUAUUCUCUAGCCUGAAGUGUCACAAGCGCAAUUAUAAUGACUGUGACUAGACGUCAUGUCAUUACCACUCUCUUUCCUUUCUAGUAGUGAGAAGCUAGGGUGACUAUAAUGACUGAGACAAAAAUGCCAUGCCAUUACCAUGUCAAGACAAUAGUUGUAGAUCUUUACAUGACUAAUCAAUAAGGCCCUAUUACAAGUACAUUAGUUCUGUUAAAAUCGGAACGGCGAAAAAUAGAUCCAGAAAAUAACUUAAUGCAAGAAAAGAAAAGAUAAGCGGAAAGAACACACCGAUAAUUACGUGGUUCGGCCAACGGCCUACGUCCACGGGCGAAGACGGAGCAAAUACUUUAUUAAUGUCGAAAAAAGCGGAGUACAAGAAAAUCUCUCAAAAGACCAAAACUUAAUUAGAUCCGAAACGCCGAAAGUCGCGCCGUAUAAAAGAGACUCCAAAAUUUGAUUCUCUCUCACCACCCGUACGGACCACCUGAAUGCUCCUUAAUUAAUUAGAGCUCCAACUCGGCUUGGGUCACGACACGCAAGAACGCAGGAUCGAAUACAAGAAACACUCCUUAAUUAAUUAGCAUGGCAAUAAGAAUCCGGCUUCUUGACUGUACGGAACACCAUGCUUGAGGGAUCUUGAUCCAAGAGGCUUCAAUUAAUUAGCGCAUGAAGAAUAGUCUCAGCCGCACCAACCUUUUAAUUUAAUUUGCAUGGCUCUUAAUUGUGUCGCUACUCCUUUAAUUUGGCCGUAGCAUGUAUAUAUAAUACACGUCUCCUAAUUAGAGUCUAAUUCUAAUUCAAUUAGAAUUAUACUCCUAAUUAUAAUCCAUAUAUGCCAAAUUAAAUCUAAAUUUUAUAUAAUCCCAAUUAGAUUAGGAUUUAUUCUCAAUUUAGAUAACUACAAAUCUAAACCAAAUAUAACAAGUUCUAUAUCAGGUCUCGCCAUCGAAAGCUCAACAGUGGAGUUGAUUACAGUAAACGCUAAAUAUUUGAGUUAGAAAUUAUGACAAAUUAACAAUUGGGCAUUAAAAAGUUGCUCGAAAAAAUAAUGUUUGAAUAUCAAAAUGUCACUCGUCGCAUAGUUUAGGAACUAUGUCAUCUCCCCAGGUCGAAACGCAAAUGAGUAUGUACACCACAUUGACUGAGUUUCCACCUAAACAUGCAUGAUAUCGGAGUAUAAAGCACUUGCAAGUGCUAAAACAUUAUAGAAGGUUUACAAAAUCCAGGAAAGGCUCACUUUACCAUGCGGUUGCACUAGCCACCGUAACAGUGAAGGGGGAGUAUAGUAUAACUAUGACGCCUCGCUUUCCAAGGGGUUACCUAUCAUAGAACUACUCCAAUUCUAGCACCCUUAAUCUUCUUAACCUCUUGGCCUUAGCCACCACCCAACAUGUUAUAGUCGGAUUAAGAAACUCACAAGUACCAGGCAUGCAAUGUGAGACUCAUCUUGCUAGCCUUAGCCGAUCCUGUGGGGAGCUACGCUCCAAUGAUAAUGGUCAUCAGCGAGGGGGCCGCGCUCUACCCACUGUAUAAUCUUUGCUUAGUCGAGAUUCAUCUCACAUUGUUCUGCUGGUGAUUGGCUCUAAUGCCAACUGUAAUGACCAGAACAGCUAAUAAUAACAUCACGUUGGGAACAGCGUUGUAAUUGAGAAGAUAAGGGACCACAGACCCUAAUGAUAAUAACUGGCUUAAUCAUUUUUGGCAUGUGGUUUGGGCCUAACAAAUUAUUAUUAUUAGCAAUCCUAAUCAUUACGGUUAAUAUAAUGAUCCGGUACGGUAGCAAUAAUAACUAGUUGGACCCAAACUACUAGCUCGAAAUGCUCAAGCCAAGUUGUUAUUACUUGUAUUCCUGUCACAUAUAAGCCCAUCACACUCUCCCACAUUAUCCGACGUAGAACUAUUGGGGUGUCACAGACUCCUCCCGUUUAGGCCCUGACAUCCAUGUUAGCCAAUAACACAUACAGUUCAAAAUCAUCAAGCAAUGUGAGACCCACCUCACAUUUCCGGCCAUUUCAAUAUGGGAACUAUUGGGGUGUCGUAAUCGCAUAGCAAAUCAUAAUACUCUAUGAUCAAAUGACAAUAGCAACUAGAGUGUAAACUAUCAUUUAAUAGUCAACACAAAUGGUUGUAAUUUAUCAAACUUUAGCCAAAUUGGCGAAGUACAGGGAUUAAAGUUGUGCUAGAUAUAAUUAAAAUUGGUUUGGAGAAGCUUAGAUUGAGUUUGGAUCGAGUUGAAAUCAAUUCGGAUCUAAAUGGGGUACCAAAAGAGGUAAAAAUCUGAGUUCCGAAAUUUUUGGAUGCCUGGAAUAGAAAUUUGUGCAAACUGCUUUGGACUGCUCGGCUAAGCGCCUAGACCAAGUAGAUGCUCUAUAAGAGAGUUGUGCUUGUAGGUGAAUAAACUUUCACAUGUCCAGAUGAUCUUCCGGAUACCCGAAAUGCUUUUGAAUGCCUCUUGAAGGCAUUUGAACCCUCAUGAAGGUCUUCUACCAGAGAGCGCGAAUGCAUGAGAAAUUAAUCAUUCGGGCGUCCGAAUGUCCCUACUGGUGCAUAGAACACUCUUUGGAUAGUCCCUUCGCCGGGGCUCGAAUGACUUCCAGACACUCAACCUAAGAGUACCGGUUGAGUGGUGCGUUAAACAAUCAAAAGCCCGAAAUAUGGAGUAGAGAGGACUGGGCGGGCGUCCAAGUCACUGACCGAGCAUUGCUACAUAGGUUUUGGGCACUCCAAAGUUCAAGAAGGUACCGAAACCUUGCACAGAGGUUGUGCCUUGUUUAUUUGCAAAUAAAAUAUUGAAGGUUUUAAGUGAAAAUGUAGCACUUCUAUAUAACCCUUUUCACAAUGAAAACCCUAACCCUCACCACAUUUUCUCUUUCAUCUCUCACCUCAUUCUGUCUUUCACACUCUCUCUCAUUUUCUCUCUUUAAAAUGAAAGAACCCUAGCUCCAUCUCACUGUUGGAUCAUGGAGAUUCAUCUCUUUGGAGCCUUGGAGGAGAUCAACAACUCUUGGAGGAAGCCCUAAGGAGGAAAAGACAAACCACCUCCACCACAUUUCUCUUGCUAGUAGGAGCAGAGGUGACUUGAAAUUUUUAGAGUUUAUUUUUAGAGAUUUUUUUCAAAUGAGAAAUUUUAUGGUUAUAACUGGGUAAGAACUUUAUUUUAGGAUUUUCUUGGAGUUUUAAAGAUAUCAAGGAGCUUCUCUUAGGCAAGAUUCAAAGAGAAGGUAGAGAAUAUCACAGAAAUAGAUUUGAUCUCUCCAUCUAAAGUAUUCUUUAUUUAUAUGCAUGUAUUAUGGGUAAAUGGUAGGCUAAAAUGUAUUUAAUUUGCAUGGUUGGGGACUUAGUAGGUCAAGAUGGCUUAUGAGCAUUUGGCAUAGAAAAAUAGGAUUUCUAACCCUUUGAUGUGUUAAAAGAGAAGUAUACGUCAUUUACAUGUUGAGUAUCAUGUGUGCUUUAGAACAUAGGUGAAAUAAGUAUGGCAUCUAACUUAGGUUGAAACCUAAGGUGUGAGCAUAGCGACAUAUGAACUCUAGGCGAAACUUGAGCUAGAGAACAAGAAAAUGUGUAAAUAAGCAUUGUGGAUAACCCUAGGAGUCAUGAGAACUUAGAGUGAAUUAUAAAAUAAGUCGCGACCUUCCUAAAGUGCUAUUUUGGGAUGUGUCAAUUCCCCUCGACCCCCUUCUUUAUAUUAGGAGAUGCCGAUUACUCUCAACUCCCUACUGUACUCGGUGAUGUCAAUUGUCUUCGACGCCAAGUGCCUACUGAGCAGAGGUAUGCCAAUUGCCUUUGCCUGUCCAUGAGAUGUUGUAAGAAAUGAAACCAGACUAAGAGGUUGAUUAAUAAUAAGAGUUAAUUUGGGGCAAACAUGUCAACCAAUGACAUGGUGUAGCAUUGUGGCAUAUUGUAUAUACACUUAAGGCAUGAUAGUUGUACCUUUCUUACUUGCAUUUUUAUUGUAGAAAUUGAUGUGUCAUUUAUUAAUUGUCUAUUAAUGCCUUUUUUGGACCGAGUGAGUGUAGAGCACCACUCUCAAUGGCCGCACUCAUUGAAAAUUUAUUCAAGUUCCCACACUCUUGUGAUUGUUGUUUUCAGAGUUACCUACCGCCCGCGAGGCAGGGGAUCCCAACAAGGGCAUUGCAAGUAGCUAGAUCAGUGUGAGUUGGUCUAGAGGGUACCGUUUUGUAAAAGCAUAAUCUAUGUAAUAUUUUGGGGAUUCAAAGUAGUAAUUAAAUACUUUGAUGCUUUAUGUACCUAUAUCAUAUAUGUGUUGUACAGGUUAGUAUAUAUUUUCGCUUCAUGCGGAUAAGAAAAAUAUUUCUUAUUCAACAAGUCUGAUGCACUUGUCCUGAUGGGUCCAAUUGGCGGAAUUCGGGGUGUGACAACAGCAGCACAAGGCAAUAAAUAAAUUACUGCUACUAUAUAUAUGUCCAUCAUAUCAUCACAUUAUCAAUUAGACGCUCUCUAAAUUAGGAUGCUACGACAAUAAUAAUGAUAAACAAUAUAUCUACAAUGUCAAGAAUGCUAACACAAUAAGAAGCUCUAACAGGUAUAUAUGCUCUCAACAAGUAUAUAUGCAUGUGUAAUAUAAAGUAACCAUGAAAAGAGGAAAAUAUGUAGUCGAGAAAAUCAAGGUAAAGGUAACCCACUCCAGCUUGAGUACCCGCCUCUAAUUGUCAAUCCAGUGAGUUCGACAUAUUUUUGGCUCUUCAAUUCUUGCUUUAACCUAAAGAGAGUAUAAACAAAUCACCUACAAAUAUAAACAAAUCAUCGCUCGAACAUGCUGACACGUGGCUUGUGGUAGGUGUGAGCUGCUUGAGCAAGAUAGGCGCACCAUACCGCUGUGGAGGUGAGCCCUCUUUGCCGAACUGUGGGAACAUGCUGAUUAGGGCGCCCCCAGUUCUGGGUUUAGGGCGCCCAAAUCUGGGAUUUCGGUGCUGAGGCAGGUUAUGUUCUAAUUUUUUUGUGGCUUAUUUUACCCCUCCUUUGCCUCUAUAAAAAUAGUUGGAUAACCCCCUGAGACUCUUUUCUUCCCUCGUUCACAGCAACCUUCUUUUCUUCAUCCAAAUCCCCUCCAAAUCAGCUCUACUCCAUCUCUUCCUCCUUGCGGUGGAUCCAGAAUUGCAGGAUUCCAUCAGUAACCUCGGCAAAUUGUGGAAUUGUGAUCUGUUGGGCCUUCCAAUUGCUGUGGGGAACAAUUUUGCGGAUUGUAGACUUGAGGGGGAGUGUGUGAAGUAAUCCUAACUCCAUUUAAUCUAGGAUAGCAUAGUUGAAUUGCUGAAAUUUUACUUGAAUUGGAAUUUUGAGCUGAAAUUGAACUUUUGUUGGUUUUCUUGGACCUGAUUCUUAUUGUAGUUGGCUUUUGGAUUUGGAACUGAUUCUUAUUGAAGGUGAGUUUGAUUCAGAUUUUGAGUUCUUGAGCUUUAAAUGCAGUUUUUGGAGAUUUUGAUGGAAUUGUUGAAAUUUUGAAUCCAAAUUUUGGUAGAGAGUUAAUUGCUUGAUUUUGAUUGAUUUUUUCCCACCUCAGGAGGUUUUUGAACCCCUUCCCACUGGUUUUGCAAGUUGAAAUUCCCAAAUUUUAGCUUGAAUUGAGUUGAUGUGCUGGCAACUUACUGCUUUCUGGACUUUGCUGAAUCUGGGCCUCCAUUUUUGGAUCUAGAUUGUCUUGGAGGACUUUUGGUUGCUAUUAUAGUUGAGAACUGGUGGAGCAACACACCCUUGUGUUGGGUCCGGUUGCUAUGAGGUAAGUUUUAGUAAUUUUAGAAUUUCAAUUCUGGAUUUUGAGCUUUGAUUGCACGAGUUGAAUGCUUGCUGUUUUUGAGCAGACCUGCAAAUCUGGACUCAAGUUCUGGGUGCCCAGAACCUACUACUUGAGGAUCCAUAAGUGUAGUAGCUUGAGAGGAAGUUGGUUAUUUUGUUAGCUCUCGAGUCCUUUGUUUCGUGGUUGGAUUAGAACUUCAGGUGGAUUAAUGUCUACCGAAUUCUUCGGAAUUCUUUCUAAGUUUUGUAGAAUUUCAGCAUGCAUAAUUAUUUAAUUAUUGUGUUUAGUAGCUCAAAUUGUAAAUUUGCAUGUUAUUAUAUGAAAUCUGAAUUGGGAGUAUGAUUUAAAUAUUUUUGAUGAAUUUUGCAUGAUAAACCAGGGCAUGACUUAAGAGAAAAUAUAUAGAACAUACAUAUUGUAUUUUUCGAAAAGUUAACAGAUUUAGCUUCAUGAGCUGAUUUCACCUUUGUAUCGCCGCUGUUAGUGCGUUAUGGAUACUCAAAUUUGUGUAGGUAGAGAUUACACUCGUACUGAGGUGCCGAGUGGAUUUUUACAGCAAUGUUAAGGCUGCUCCAUAUUGUUAAGUGCCGUUCGGAUUAACGGUGGACCCAGAUCCUUGCUGUUUGCAUUAGAUUGUGCUGAGGGCACGUAAGCUUUGCUUUUUUGACCUGUUUCAGCAUUUGCACUGACUACAUCCUACGUGAGCCUGAUUGAGCUUGACAUAGACACAAUUCUAUACUCGGUAGGGUCGCAUCCCUAAGUGCCGCUGCGGAGUCUGGCUUUCUUGCGUUGAUGUCGCAGUUGCCCUUUUGGGUUUUUCUACUUUGAUCAGCCAUCCCCGUGGGUGGUGCGGUAGUAACUUAGGCACAAACUGGACUGACCAAUUGACAGUCACUUUAGAUUGGGUCGAUGGUCACUGUUUCUUAGCUAGUGAUGCAUAUGUCUACAGAGGACAUGACAUGGGUAGUGGUAGUGCAAUGGCAUAUUAGCUGUAGAGUUUCGUUCAGCUUAUCUUAUUGUUCUUUUACCUUCCAGCUUUAUUUUUGCCUUGUAAACUUAGUGGACAGGCCGUUGGGGUCGGUGACGGUACCCACUGGAACUACUUUGUUUCACAGUAGUACUCACCCCCAUUGUUGCCAUAAUUUUUACAGAGCCGUCAAUUGCUGCUGCUGCUUCUGAUCGAGAUAAGAAAGUCGCAAUCUAGAUCCUGUCUACUCCGAUCGUUGAGCUAGAGAAGUACCAUUUUGGAGACAAUAGUUGUUUAUAGUCAUGUACCCAAUUGUAUUUUAUUUCAUCUGUUGAGAGUUGUGAGGUGUUGGUGUUAUACUUUGAUUUUUGUUAUACACCUUGGAUUAUAUUAUGUACAGGUGACUUAUUUAUUUCUAUUUUAGUAGCUCUGUAACUCUUUUGUAGUAGUUCUUAUAUUGUUUAUAGGUGAUUCUAUCACUUCGUUUACACAGGGCUUCUUGUGUAUAUGCCGGAUUUAUUGGCGAGCUCAGGUAACACUGGACCCCAGGGCACAACAAAAACCCAUUUAUUUUCCUUUGCUAGAGUUGAGUAUCGAUACUAGUACUUGGGUUCUAGUACUAGUAUAUAACUCAAGAGUUCUGACACUUCAACCCAGUUCCGCAAAAUCUGAAUGGUGGAUUUCUCUUUUCUCUAUUAUGUACCAAUACCCGCCCGUUUCAGUUCUAGUACACAACAUUUCAAUAUUGGUACUUAAUUAGGGGGAGUUCUACAAAAUCCGAGAGUUCUCCUAGCCUCCUCGCAGCUGAGUACUAGUACUCCCUGGCCUCUAAUACCGGUACUAAAUGAAAAUCUGCAUUUUUGCAGAUUUAGCUCUUCAAUGUCUGGUUUUCACAACAAAAAUAGUCUAAUGAUUUCCAAAUACCAUUAGGAUUAUCCAAAUAGUUCUCAUUACUAUUUCUCACCAGAACUUUGUUAUUUACACCUAGGAGUAUAUAAAGAUGAAUGGAUAUGGAUUGCGUAAAAUUAAAUAGCAAAUUGAAAGAUUAUUAAAAGAUCACCAUGAAUAUAUGUAGGAAAGUAAAAGUUGUAACUCCAUUACGGGGUAUAAAGAAAAUUCAUUUUAUUUUUAAUAACAAAACAUUACAAUAGUUUAUAAAAGCAUAUAAAGUGUUUUAGCGCAUAUAAUUAUACAUCAAUUUCACAAAUAAAAUCUUUGCCUUUCUGCAUAAAAAAUUUAUUGGUUUUAUGUUUUUGCAAAAUCAGGCCAUAUCUUGCAAAAUUGUAUACGUAGAUUAUGACUGAAUUUUUAAAAAAGUGAUCAAAAUGCAUUUAUUCUCUCUUUCUCUCUUUUCCUUUUAAAUUCUUGGAAAGUACAACUAACACCCGUAAUUGCAUGUACUUUUUUCUCAAAAGUCAUACUCUUACAUGAUAAAAAAUAAAAGAAUAGAAAAUAAUAAGUAAAAUUAAAAUAGUGCAAUCACCUUUCACUAGUAUAAUAUGAAUAUAAAAUCGUGUAACACUAGUGCAAGUUUGCACAAAUUUUAACCUUUUUACAUUAAAAUUUAAAAGUUUUAAUGUUUUAACGUUUUUAACGUGUAAGCAAAAUAAAAUAACAAAGGACUUCUAACGUUUGAAAAUUUAAAUAUUUGAACAUUUUUACUAAAAAAGAUCAAAGUGUUGCACCUUUUACCGGUUGCAUUAUUAAAGAGAAUGUUGCUCAAUUUUCAAUUUAUGUUGCACAAUUUGAAAAUGAUGUUGCACAAUUUUGAAAUGUAAAAUCCAAAAAAAAUCUAACGUUAAAAAGAUAUUAUCUUUCUUAAAAAGGACAACUAACAAGUAAUAAUUGCAUGUACUUUUUUUCAUAAAACGAAAAUUCUCCCUUAAUACAAAAAUAGAUUAUAAAUAUAAUAAGUAAAAAAAAUAGUGUAACACAAUUUAAAAUUGUGUAACUUACUCUCAAAUCUUUCAAUAUUAGUCAGAUAGAGCAAUAUUUUUUUUUUUCAAAUGUUGCAAUAUUUUUUUCUAAUAAAAUUUAAAAUUCUUAUUAAAUAAUGCAGUAUAUUUUCAAACUAUAUAGUUUAAUAUUUAAUUUUUUUAUUAAAAAAAGAUCAAAAUGUUGUAGCUUUAACCGAAUGUUGCACUAUUCGGUAGUAUUUUACGUAAUUUCAAUAUAUGCUCCACAAUUUGAGAAAGUUAUUGCACAAUUUUGAAAUUUAAAAUGUCAACAAAAUCUAGUAUUAAAUAGAUCUUAUUUUUCUUGAAAAAUAAAACUGACAAGUCAUAAUUAUAUAUACUUUUUUUUGAAAGACAAGAAUCCGCAGCGAACACAAAUUAAAUAAAAAAUAAAUAUAAUCAACAGACGAUAAUAGCGCAAAUUUGAUCUAAAAUUAUGCAAUAUAUUCUCAAAUCUUGUUAUAUUUUAUCAAAUAGUGCAAUAGAUUUUCAAAAAUUGCACCAUGUGAAGGCCUCGACAAGCGCCCCCGCCUUCCACACGUGAAGGCCUAGUUCGUCCUACCCGCCCUUAUAUAUAGGCAGAAGCACAUUUUGGUCAAAUUUUAAAAAAAUUGGAUUGAAUUUGCAAAAAUUUGUAAAAACACAAAACUGGUGACUUGUUUAACUGAGGGACAUUUGUGCUCUUUGAGCUCUUUCUGGCACAAAUGAAUGUUCACUUGAGUAAUUUAUAUUUAUGAACAUAUAAAUUAAUUAUAAAAUAUAUAUGAUGGUCCAUUAGGUACGCAUGGUUGGGGACUUGUGUGUGCAAAAAACGAGACAUUACGAUAUGGGCAAGAACUUAUUUAUAUUAUACGCGUUAUUCUCUUGUUGUGGUUUGUUUCCAUGAUCUUUGCACUAGUCUUGAAGCUUUAAUUUAUAUAUUGUGGCAAGGAAAGCAAGGGGAUGGUCAGCAGCAGCACUCUGAGAACACAAAUAAUAAAAGGGGGAAAAAGAAAUAUUUUAAAAAAAUAAAUAGUAAAUUAUAUAAUAAAUUUAGAACAGUGGAGGAAAAGGGGGAAAAAGGGUAAAGAAAAAGAUAAUCAUCAAAAAAAAAAAGAAAAGAGGCGGGAAAAAGAAAUAUUAAAAAAAUAAAUAGUAAAUUAUAUAAUAAAUAUUAUAUAAUAAAUAUAUAUAUAUAAAUAAAAAACUAUAUAUAUAAAUAAUAUAUAUUUAUAAAUAAAAAUUAUAUAUAUAAUAAACAAAUAUAUAUUUACAAAUAAAAUUAUAUAAUAUAUAAUAUAUAUAUUUAAAAUAAAAUUAUAUAUAUAUAUAAUAGAUAAAUAUAUAUUUAUAAAUAAUAUAUAUAUAUAUAUAUAUAUAGUAUAUAUUAUAUAUAUAUAAUAAUAUAAAAUAUAUAUAUAUAUAUAUCUUCCCCUCUCUCCUCUGCUUCUCUCCUCUCUCUCCCGCCUCGCUCUCUCUCUCUCUGCUUCUCUGUUUCUCUCUUUCUCUUCUCCCGUUCGCGUGCGAAGCGGCCACGGCUCGCGCCCCGCACCCCGCCGCCGCCCUCGCGAGCCGCGCGCCCCGCGUAGCCGGCCCUCCGCUCGGUCACGCUCGCGCCGGUGACCACCCUCGGCCGCGCCGCGCCCGCGCCCGCGCCAGGGCCUCCAUUCUCCCGCCGUCGCCCGCCCGCGCCUCCGCCUCCCGCUGCCUCCGCCCGCUCUGGGAGAGGGCGAGAGAGAGAGAGAGCGGGGAGGAAGGAAAAGAGGGGAGAGGGGUGGAGAGUGGGAGAGAGUUGGGGAUGGGAGAGGUAAAAAGGAGGGGGGGAGAGCUCGCGCGCGCCCGGGGGUGCGGGUCGCCGCCACCUCCCCACGCGGCCCGCGCCCCGCCCGCCACCCGUUGGCGCGGUCGCGCGCACGGUGGGAGAGAGAGAAGGGGGAGAGAGAGCCGCGGGAGGGGGAGGAGGUGGGAGAGAGAAAGGGGGAGAGGGAGAGAGAAGGGGGGGUGGUGUGUGAGAGAGGGAGAGAGAUGAGAGGAGAGACCAGGGGUGGGGCUGCCAUGUGCGGGCGGCCGCACCCUGCGCACGCUGAAAGAGAGAGAGAGACACUGUCUGCUCUCUCUCUCUCUCUCUGCUCACUCUCUCUCUCUCUCUCUCUCUCUCCCCCCCUCUCUCCCUCUCUCUCUCUCGCGCGUGCUGCGCGCGCGGGUCGCCUGCACGCAGGCCCCCCCCCCUCUCUCUCUUUCUCUUCCUUUCUCUCUUCCUGGCUCUCUCUCUCUCUCCCCCUCUCUCUGUAUGCUCUCUCUCCUCCCCCUCUGUUAUCUCUCUCUCCCUCUCUCUCUCUCUCUCUCUCUCUCGAGUCCCCGCAAAAGCGGGGAGCCCACCGUACAUACUCUCGAUUCUAUAUUUAUAUAGAUAUAUAGAGAGAGAGAGAGAGUUGAGCUAGAAUAUUGUCGAUAGUAAACGAGCCGUUUUACUACUGAUUUGUUUUCGAUGAUAGAGCUUCCAAAUAGACGAUCGGCUCCUUAAAUAUGAUCUAAACCAUUUAAACUACCUAGAAAUCAAAUUUCACGCACUUUCGAUAUUGUUCUUUUAUCCAUCAAGUGAACAGAAAAAUGAAUGGCUGAAAAUGAAUAUUCUUUAAAAAAUGAUGAUAGGAGUCUUGUAAUCAAGAUCAAGAGUAUAGAUCUUGUUUUAAAUAGUUUAAAGAAUUUUCUAACAAAAAUUCAAUUGAUUUGGAUAUCUUUACGCUGUUAAACGAGAAAACGCUUCUUAUCGACCAUUAAAAUUACAAAUUUUGAAACCCUUUGAUCAUUAGGCAAAUGAUGUCGAAAAGAUUUAAAAUUUGAUUUCUAAACACUUCAAAUGGUAUAGAUAAUGUUCAACAGAGCCGAUCGUCAAUUUGGAAGCUCUAUCAACGAAAACAAAUAGGUAGUAAAACAACUCAUUUACUACUGAUAGUAUUCUAGCAAAACUCUCUCUCUCACACUCUCUCUCUCUCUCUAUAUAUAUAUAUAUAUGAUACGAAGAUAUUGAUUGAUUCCAGUUGAUCGUUAAUAGUGGUCAAUAUGAUAUCUGUUGGAUAUAGCACCUAGAAAAUUGAAACGAUAUUUGGUGUUCUAGAAUCUAAUUUAUUCCAAUUAUUAGGAACUCACUGUCAGAACAUUGGCGCUAACUAUUGAUGUCUAAAGUUCAAGCUACUAGAAAAAUACAAUUUAUUCAUUUAAAACAUAUAGAUACAGCAUCCACGGAUCUCGAUUAUGACUCGAUCCGACCAGCCUUAUACUAUUUCGAACAUGACUCAGUCCAACUUAGCCUUACGCCAUUCCAAAUGUAACUAGGCCUAACCUAGCCUCUCGUAACAGUGCAGAAUGCUAGUUGAUUCAUAUUUCCCUAACGUCGACCGUCCCUAGCUAGCACGAGUGGUAAACGACUUACUAGUUGCUGGUUAGUACCCGAGAUAUCAAGUUUGAAUCAUAAUUAAUUCAUAUUUUUUACUGAAUUUUUUAAAAACAAAAAUAAAUAAAAUAAAUAGUAUACAACCUUUCUAUCUUUCAAACGAAGAAGAAGAAGAAGAAGAAGAAGAAACAGAAGCAGCAGCAGCAACAGGGCAAAAUGCUGGCACGUACGUCUGUUAGCGCAAAUGAUAGAAAUAUUAUAAUAAAAUGUGAUAGCAUUGGAGUCCCCACUAGUGACACUUGGAGAGGGCACGAGUCCCCACCGUAUACCAACUACAUAUAUAUAUAUAUAGAGAGAGAGAGAGAGAGAGAGAGAGAGAGAGUAGGGCUAGAAUACUUGUAAAAGUAUCAUAGCUCAACUCAUAUAUAUAUAUAUAUAUAUAUAUAUAUAUAUAGAGAGAGAGAGAAAGAGAGAGAGAGAGAGAGAGAGUCCAGCUACUAUGCUAUCGGUAGCACGGAGCACUCCGUGCUACCAAGUUGUUUUCGAUGAUGCGGCUUCCAAAUCGACAAUCGGCUUCGUUAGACUUGAUCUACACUAUUGAAAGUAUUUGGAAACUAAAUUUCAGAUUUUUUCGACAUCAUUUGACCAGUGAUCAAAAGAUCUCAAAAUUGACAAUUUUAAUGGCCGAUGUGGUGUGUUUGUGAGUUUAACGGUGUGAAACAAUCCAAAUGCGAUGAAAAUUUUAUAGAAAAUUCUUUUCACUAUUUAGAGUAAGAUCAGUAUAUCUGAUCUUGAAUUUAAAUCUUUUAUCAUCAUUUUCAUAACAUUUUUAUUUUUCAGCCGUUCAAUUUUAUAGACUACUUGUUUGAAGGUAAAUAUUAUCAAAAAAUUAUGAAAUUUAGUUUCUAAAUACUUUCAAAUAGGGUAGAUCAAGUCUAACAGAGCCGAUCGUCAAUUUGCAAGGCCGCAUCAUUGAAAAACAACUUGGUAGCACGGAGCGCUCCGUCCUACCGAUAGUAUAGUAGGCCUAGUUCUAUAUUUUAUAUAUAUAUAUAUAUAUAUGAGUUGAGCUAUCAUGACUUUUACAAGUAUCACCAUCAUGGGUGCUAUUAGGUUUUAAACCAUUGGAUCUACUUUUUGAUUAUUAAUAGCCCUUGGAUUAAACACUAUUCACCUACCACACCUAACCACCAGCACUACCACUAUCAUCUCAACCCUCACAUCUCUCCAUCAAGGGCUAAAAACAAUACAAGUAUCACCCCCAUGAUACUUUUACAAGUAUUCUAGCCCACUCUAAAAAUAUAUAUAGAGAGAGGUUAUUAUGCUUCGACAGUACGAAGCCUUUCAUAUUUUCAGGUUCAUUUUUAUGUUGCGACUUUCGAAUCGUCGAUCGGGCUCCCGUUACAACUUGAUUUAGAGUAUUGAAAUACCUAGAGAAAUAAAUUUUACAAUUUUUCGAUUUCAUUUGCCUAGUGCAACUAAGCGGGUUCAAAAUCAACGCGCUGAAAGCUUAAAUCUUCAAAACGUGAUAAUAAUGAUAUUAAAAUUUUAAAUCAAAUAAUAUGAUUUGUUUUAUAGUAUAAAGAAUUUUUUAUUCAAAAUUUUUACGUAGAUUUGGAUAUUUCUACACCAUUAAACUUCGCAAAACGGCCACCAGGCAUUAAAAUUAUUGAUUUGAGUCCCUUCGAUCACUAGGCAAAUGAUAUCGAAAAUUACAAAAUUUAUUUUCUAGUAUUCAAAUACUCUAGAUUAAGUUUAACGGAGCCGAUCGACGAUUCGAAAGUCGCAAUAUUGAAAACGACCUCGAAGCACGGAAGGCUCCGUGCUUCCAGAAGCAUAGCAGCCUCACUCUCUCUCUCUCUCUCUAUAUAUAUAUAUAUAAUAUAUAGAGAGAGAGAGAGAGAGAGGACGACGAGAGAGAGAUGGGAGAAGAGAGAGAGAGAGAGAGAGAGAGUUGAGCUAGAAUAGUUCUAAAAGCACGAAAGAGUAGUGUUUUUGAGUUUUUAGCCUUUGGAUGAAGAAAUGUAGAGUUGAAAUGAUAGCCGAGGGUGGUGUGGUGUGUAAGGUGGAAAUAGUAUUAAUCCAAAGGCUAUAAUAUAUAAAGGGAUAGAUCCAAGAGCUAAAAACUUAGAAGCACUAAGAAAGAUGGUGGUCUCUAAAAGUAUUAUAGCUCAAUCAUAUAUAUAUAUAUAUAAUAAUAUAGAGUCCGCUAUGGGCUUGUAAAAACACAAACACUUGUACUUGUAAGUUUUUUACGUUAGAUUACGUCUUUAUCAUUUUCAACCGUUAGAUUAUACUAUUCAACCAACUACCCACUCAACCUUAGGGGGCCCACAUCAUCCUAACCAGCAAUCUUUAAUCGAAUGGCCCAAACAUAUAAGUACCAACUGACUUGUUACUUUUUAAAACAUUGGAGUCAUUCUCUCUCUCUCUCUAUAUAUAUAUAUAUAUAUAUAUAUUUAUUUAUUUAUUUAUUUGUGGCCGGUGAUAAUUAACAAUGCAAGUAAAUAUGAAUGCAAGCUACGUACAUGAGCUCAUGAUCGAUUUAGUAGGUUUUCGGUACCUCAUAAAAUAGCUUAAAUGGCAUACGUUACAGAUCUAGUAAUAACGGUAGUGCAGCAUAAGUCAUAGCGGAGCCAAUAUUGCUCAAUAUCAAGUGUGUCUAUGUAUAUAUAUAUAUAUAUAUAUAUAUAUAUANNNNNNNNNNNNNNNNNNNNNNNNNNNNNNNNNNNNNNNNNNNNNNNNNNNNNNNNNNNNNNNNNNNNNNNNNNNNNNNNNNNNNNNNNNNNNNNNNNNNAUAUACUAUAUAUAAUGAUAUAUAUAUUUUGGCCGGUGAUAAUUAACAGCAAGUAAAUCCAUAGAAAAUGCAAAAGCUAACGUACAUAGCUAUGGAUCGAUUUAGGGAGGUAUUCCGGUAAAUCUCAAAAAAAUAGCUUAACUGGCGGUAGCGUUUACAUCUAGUGAAUAAACUAUGUGCAGCAAUAGGUCAUAGCUUUUUUUUAUUUUUUUUUUUUUUUUAUUCUUUAUAUCUUUUUUUUUUUUUUUUUUUUUCUUUUUUUUUUUUUUUUCUUCUACACUUUUUUUUUCAUUUUUUUUUUUUUUUUUUUUUUCUUCUUUUUUUUUUUUUGCCUAGCAAUACUUGCCUCCAGAUUAUCUAGUCUUAAUAUCAUUUAUAAAUAUACACAUUUGUAUGAGCAAUAUAAAAUUUACAAUUUCUAAAUACUUUAAAUUUCUAAAUCAAGAUAUACGGAGCGCAAUAUGUCGAUUCGAAAGUCGAACUCUCGACAAAUCAACUUAGAGAGCACAGAAAGCGCCGUGCUUCCACAAGACAUACAACCUCUCUCUCUCUCUCUAUAUAUAUAAUAGAGAGAUGAGCAGAGAGAGAGGGUAUAUAAAUAAUAUAAAUAUAGAGAGAGAGGAGAGAAUGGAGAGAGAGAUAGCAAGCUAGGUUGCUAUAACUAUUGGAUCAAACGGAGGCUCCGUUUACCAAGUUGUUUUCAAAUAUGCCGAUUCAAAUCGACUGAUCGGCUCUGUUAAUUUGAUCUAACUAUUAAAAAAUAUUUAGAAAACUAAAUUCAUAAUUUUUCAUUAUCAUUUGGCUAGCACGAUCAAAGUCUCAAUAAUGACAAUUUUUAAUGUUAAUGUGAUGCAUUUGUAAAUUUAACGGUGUAAAAACAAUUCAAAAUUAGUAAAAAUUAUGAAAAAUUAUUUACUAUUUAGAGUAAGAUCAAACUCUGAUUUUAAUUUAAUCUUCUUCGAUCCUUUUUUUAUGAAAUUUUAUAUUUAGUCUGCCGUCAUUUUAGACUACUCGUUUGAUAGCUAAAAUGUACCGAAAAAUUAUGCAAUUUUAGUUUCCAUAAUACUUUAAUAGUAUAGAUUCAGUCUAAAAUGGAAGCGAUCGUCGAUUUGGAAGUGCAUCAUUGAUAAACACUUGGUAAGCAUAGACCUCCGUGCUACGAUAGUAUACAGCCUACUUCUCCUCUCUCUCUCUUCUUCUCUCUCUCCUACUCAUCUAUUAUAAUAUAUAUAUAUUAUAUAGAGAGAGAGACUGGAGAGGAUGGAGCGAGAGAGUCCGGCUACUAUGCUAUCGGUAGCACGAGCGUCUCUGCUACAUUUGUUUUCGAUGAUGCGGGCCCCCUUCCAAAUCAACGAUCGCGCUCGUUUAAACUUAAUCUUAUAUAUUGAAGUAUUUGGAAACUAAAUUUCAGCAUUUUUUCGACAUCAUUUGACUGUGAUCAAGAAGAGUCUCAAAAUUGACAAUUUUAAUGUGCGAUGUGUGUGUGAUUGGAGUUUACGGUGUAAACAAUCUAAAACGAUGAAAUUUUAUUAGAAAUUUCUUUCACUAUUUGAGUAGAUUAGUUUAUUCUGACUGAAUUUAAAUCUUUUUCAUCAAUUUUUCAUGAGAUUUUUAAUUUUCACCGUUCAAUUUUAGAACUAUUUGUUUGAUAGGUAAAUGAUAUCGAAAAA